AGUUGCAAAGAAAUACAUACCAAAUAUUACUGCCCCGAAGAAGAAAGAACAAACAUAAAUAUUUGAUUAUUCUUCUACCCUCCAUGCUAGAAUUGAAUGUGUCUGAAGAAAAGCAACAUUGGCAUAUGCAAACGGGAACCCCUUUUUAGAGAACCCCAUGCAGCUUAUGUACAUAGAAUCAGCUAGAAUCAAAACGUGUAGCAUCAUCACAAUACAUCAUUUUUUCCUAUCUGCUUGGAGAAGGAAAACUUUUCCCCCCAUUGGAUUCCCCCAUUAGAACCCCAAAGCACAUAAAAUAAAAGCCUGACUAGAUAACCUUAUCCUCGCUUAUUAUGCAUCUUCUUCGGGUCUUCCUGCUCUGCAUCUACUAAGCCUACUUUACAUAUGCUUAAAAAAAACCUGGAAAGGGAAGAAGAGUGGUCUUGGUGCCUUUUUUCUUUUUUCUUUUUUUUCAAAACCUUUCAAUAUUUACUCGUGAUAUCCUUUAGCAAAAGAAAGUUGAGGCGUGGCAUGGCAUGGCAUAUCUACACGGGAACCACAUCUUUAUUAUAAAUCUGUAAAUCUAUAAAUCUGUAAGCAGGGAGGAGUAUAUAAAAUUUGUACUAAGUACAAAACUUGAUGGCAAAAGUACAAUAAAUCUUAUGAAGUUGGAGAACUGAAAGGAUAACCAUGUAUUGUCAAAAGAAUCGAGUUGAAUAAAUUACGUGAUCCAGGGUAAUUUAAGAAAUUUCAAUUUGCUACUAUAGUUAAUUGGGACUAAGCAAACGCAUUGCUACUAAGCAACUCUUUGGAGAGACUCCAAAGAGAAUCCAUAAAGAGCAUGAAACUCGAAUGUUUUGCGGUUCUAGAAGUCCGUGAAUCAUUCUCAAAAUAUCAUUGUUAUGAUGUUAAGAGAGUGUUACUGAUAAAUUUUGCGUGUCAUUCUUGUGUUGAAUCUUGAGAAAAAUUAGUGGUGAUAAAAUUUGAUACAAUUUAUCAAUAUUAUUCGAAUUUGACACAUUUUUUGUAAAUUUAGAUUGAUUAUAAUAUUAUUUAAUUAAAUUCGUGUCGACCUAUAUAACUUAUUUAAUAAAUAGAUUAUUUUCUUUAUCAACCUAUAUGACAUGAAUUUGACCCAAAAUGACCUAUUUAAUAACCGUGUUGAUUAAUCAAAUUAUAAUCAUAACCAAUUUAGCUUAUAUUUGAUUGAUUUAAAAUUUGAUUUUGAAUAAAUAGGUCAAUCGGCUAAUAAACAUGUUAGGUUGAGAUGUUAAUCAUAUUGGCUGAAACAAAGAUCUAGUUCGACUUGAUUAUUAAAUGAGACUUAACUAUUAAAUGAGUUAUAUAAUAUAUUACCUGUUUAGUAAUUAGCAUGUUUGGUUUAUAUUUUAAUUUGAUUAUUAUUUGAUUUGUGCUUAAGUUGACCUAUUUAGUCCAAUGCAUGAGUUUUGACAUAUCACAAACACAAUUCACCAACAUGAAUUGUCACCCCUAAAACAAUAAGAGAUUUAUGUAAAUUGAUACAUUUCUAGUAGGGAUGGCAACGGGACGGUUUCAUGAUAGGUCAUCAUCCCAAUCCUGCCUUGUUUAUUCAAAAUAUUUUUCAUCCAUGUCUCAUUAAAAGAAUUAAAUGGAGCUGGGAGGGGCGGCGUGAGUAUGCAAAUUUCUCAUACUCAUUCCGUACCGCUUCAUUUAACCUUUUAAAUAUAUAUAUAUAUAUAUUUCAAAAUAUUUAACUAUAUUAAAAUAUUAUAGUUUUUUAUAACUUAUUUGAUUGAAAGGUAUUUUUUAUUAUUAUUAUUAUUAAAAAUAAGAAAAUAAAAAUUAAUUUAAUUUAAUUUUAAAAAUCAUUUUUAUAUAUAAUCAGGGUGAGGUAAGACAAGACAAUAUCCGAACUUGCCUUGAAUCCAUCAUAGAUUUAAAAAAAAAAAAAUCAAAUCCACCUUUAACCCUUUUAUUUAAAUUUCAAACUUGCCCCAUAAAGACAAGGCGAGGUAGGUACCGCCUCAAUGUCAUCAUUAAUCUCUAACCAAGAGUUUUAAAUUACACAUAUUCAUUCUCUUGCUAGGUAUCCUACAAAGUAUUAAAAAUCUCUUUUUAACGAGUAUUGGCAUAAGAAAUAAAGAAAUUUUUUUGUCAAAAACUCUUUAUACCAUCAAGACACAUCAAGAGGGUAUUGGAAAAAAAAAAUUGUCUUAAUGACUACAUUAACUUUACCUUGAUCAAACCAAGUGUCUUAACCAUAAGAUUCAUGAAUUCAUACAUGCAUGUUUGUGGUUCACAUUAAUGUAUUUUUAUGAUAUUAAUUGGAUUGAUCCUAAAAUAAAUAACUCAAAGGUCAAGUUCCAAAAUUUAUUAUUAAGAAUAAGAUAUGAAGAAUUGUCUAUUAUUGCACUGAUAAAAAAUUUGAUGUUUCAUAGUAGAAAUAAACAUAUAAGUAUCAAAUUCAUUAUAUUAAGGAACUCGUAAAAAAUUAUGAGAUUGAAUUUGGGCUUUGUAGAUCAAAAGAUCAAGUUGCAAAUAUUUUUAUAAAACUAUUAAAAAUUGAUGUGUUCAAGAAGUUGAAAAUGAUGUUUAGUGUGAUUGACCUUACAACUUAGUUUAAAGGAGAAUGUUGAAAUUAUAAUCUAACUUAAAGUCAAAUUAUAAGAAUUUUAGGAAUUUGAGAAACAUUAUAAAUUGUUUAUUUAGGUUUCUUACAUUAAUUAGGAUUUCUAUACUAAUAUGAAUUGGAAUCGUACACAAGUAUGAUUAAUAUAUUAUAAAUAAGUUUGUUAUUAUGUAAAAUAUAUAUAUAUAUAUAUAUAAUAAGAUAUUAUUUUAGCAAAAAUAUUAUCAAUACCCAAUCACGUGGCUUUAAGCAAGGAAUUGGGUCAUUGAGCUCACCACUCCUAUCUACACUACAAAACAAGAAGAUUAGCAAAGAGAGAACUUGUACCCACAGGUACAUGGGACUCUGAUUAAUCAUAGCUUUGAUAUAUAAGAAUCAAAAUGGUUUAGUUCUAGAAAUGGCUUUAUUUGAAUGCACGUUUUUUUUUUUUUUUUUUUUAAUGUUUUGAAAAAAUUAGAAGGUUUUAUAUAGAAAGUAAAAAAAUUUAUUCAAUAGAUAUAGAUUCACCUUAUAUCCUCAAAAAAAUUUUAAAAAUUGAAGUAAAAAACUUUCCAUAUCUCAAAUUUUUUAAGUAGUUUUUAAAAAUUAUUACAUUUUCAAUAGAAGCCCAUAAAGGUUUAAAUUACUUAUAUUUUCUAUUUUUAAUAAUUUAAGAAGAAGAAUUAUUUUAUUAAAAUAGAUGAAAUAAUCUUGAAUCAACAAAAUUAGCCUCUUCCAUAUUUAAACUUAAAAAAUAAUAUAUUUCAACAUAAAUACCCUUCAUUAUUAGGAUUAUUUUCAUAUAAAUUUUAGAAGAAAAUUUUACUUUUAUUGGAAAACAUGAAGAGUAUGUCUUUAAAAAAUUGAUCAAUUUUUUAGACUUUAUAUUUACAAAUUUGAAAUUAUUUUAUCUUUUUUUUAUCAAAUAACCCAAGAAAAAAAUAUAUAUAUAUGCAAAGGAACACCUAAAUUAUUAUUCUUCAACAACAAUUAGAAAAAGUUAAAGAUAUUCAAACAAAAGGUGAUAUACAUGUUUCGUGAAUCUAAAAUGACGAACUGAGAUGAUGUUUAUUUUUUUUACUUGCUUUUAAAUGAAAAUAAAAAUUAAAUAGUACUUAAUAGUGUUAAGUAUUAAAUUAUUUGUUUUCAUAAUAUUUUAUUUUUAUUAAGUAUUAAAAAGUAAAAAAAAAAAUCAACAUUUUAUUUUUUUUAUUUUUAAAAAAAAGUUAAAUAUUUUAAUUUUUUUGUUAAACCAAAAAUUUAAAAUAAAUUAUGAAAAAAAAAAACAAACAAACAACUUAAAAUUUGAAAACAAAUUACUGUCAACAAAAAACUAAAAAAAUAAAUACUUUUAAUUCCUAUUGUAAAACUUUAUUUGUGAGUAACCCUUAUAUUAAAUCAUUACCAUAUGUAAAUUUCAUUCUAAGGCACAAGAUUUAGAGUUGACAAAAUUAGUGUCUAAAAUAGUAAAAUGUCAACGAGUGACACGUCAGCUUUAGGCGACACAUCAUUUAAAAAAAAAUAGGAAAAAAAGGAACGAACAAACGAAAAGGAAACAAUGCAAGAAGCUAGCGAAGAGGUAGUCACAUCAAGAGUAGACGAAGAUGGUGGGUGAAGUGAUGAGCAGAGAGCUGGGAGCUAGGUUCACUUCCAGUGGAAAAUGUCCAAGCUCUUGCUUCGAGCAACUCCGAUGAUAUGCCACUCUGGUACCUCCGAUCGGAGCUCCAGUCAGAAGAAGUUUUGGUGGAUGAGUCUCUCCAAAUUCCUACCAUAGAUAUGAGGAAGCUCAUGGUUGAAGAUGAUGAAAUGGGAAAAGUUCAGUCGGCCUGUAAAGAAUGGGGUUUCUUUCAGGUAUAAUUAUUUUUAUAUAUUUGGUCGAUCCUUGGGAUUUUUGGCAAAUUCAUGUCUUGGGCUGCUUUUAUUUCUUUUAAUAUGUCUCUUGGCUCAAUGAGUACUUCAUUUUAACUGAUAUUGCAUAUAGAGUCCUGUAAACAAUUCUUUUUUGGGUUUUUAAGAAGGGAGGGAUUGGGUUAGAAUGCAUAUUCAUAUGCAGGGCUGAAAGAAAACAAAGUAGAACAAAGUAUUUUGGAAGUUUGGAAAUUUGUUGUGUAUUCAAUCUAUCAAUUAAGGGAAGAAGAUGCAUAUAUACAAAGCAUUGGUUAGCCUAUUCUAGGAAUCUAUGUGCAAACGUAUCAGUUACAAUCAAUAAAAAAUAAUCUUCUAUAUACAAUCAAAUCUCAUCCUCAAAUUAUGGGAUCCUUGAUUCUUUUCCCAUAAUACUCCCCCUCAAGUUGGAGCGUGUAUGUCAAGAACGCCAAACUUGUUGAGAAGGGAAUGAAAAAUUGAUGAACUGAGUGGCUUAGUGAACAAAUCAACAAGCUGGCAAGACAAUGGAACAUGAGCAAUUAUUAUGGCACCUGAUUGAAUUUAUUCUCGAACAACAUGGCAAUCGAUUUCUAUAUGCUUGGUACGUUCAUGGUAAAUUGGAUUAGCAGUAAUAUGGAGUGCUGUUUUUCUAUCACAGAAUAGUUUGGUUGCUUGCGAGUGUUCUACCUGCAAGUCAUCCAACAAAUACUUGAGCCAUGUAAGUUCACACGUAAUGGAAGUCAUUGCUCGAUAUUCUGAUUCAGCUAAUGACCUUGACACUGUUGUCUGUUUCUUGGUUUUCCAUGAAAUAAGAGUUUCUCUAAGAAAAAUGCAAUAUCCAAUCACAGAUCGUCUUGUGAUCGAACAUUGAGCCAAAUCUGCAUCGCAAAAUCCUCUUAGUAGCAAAUUUCCUUUGGCAGGAAAAUAUAAUCCUUGUUUAGGUGCACCUUUAUGAUACCGCAGAAGAUGAUGAACAACAUCCAAAUGAGGCUUUCUUGGUUCUUGCAUAAACUGACUUAAAAUGUGAACUGAAUAACUUAUCUCUGGCCUUGUAAUGGUAAGAUAAAUGAGUUGUCCGACCAAUCUUCUGUAAGUGGAUGGAUUCUUCAAUAAAUCUCCUACCGUGGGCAGGAGUUUAUUAUUUUCUUCCAUAGGUGUCGACAAUGGUUUGGCCCCAAGCAAGCCUGCUUCAUCUAAGAUAUCAAGAGUGUAUUUUCGUUGGGAUAUCGAAAUACCAUCAUUAGAACAAGCAACUUCAAUAUCAAGGAAAUAUCAUAAUUGACCGAGGUCCUUGAUGCGAAAUUUGGUGUGGAGAGACUCCUUAAGAGCUGCAAUUACAUUCUCAUCAUUGUCGGUGAUGAUCAUGUCGUCUACAUAGAUGAGCACAACUAUGAAAGAAUUACCAGAGAUCUUUGUGAAAAGUGAAUAAUCAGCCUUUGAUUGAUGGAAACCAUCUUGUUGAAUGGUGGUAGAAAAUUUCUGAAACCAACUACGGGAGGCUUUUUUAAGCCCAUAUAAUGACUUGUUGAGUCGACAUACCAUAAGUGUCUCUCCCUGUCGACAAAAAUCGGGCGGUAAUUGCAUAUAGACUUCUUCAAGAAAAUCACCAUGGAGAAAGGCAUUUUGAACAUCCAUUUGGUGAAGUGACCAGUGUCGGACAACAGCUAUAGCAAGUAAACAUCGAACUGUAGUUAACUUAGCCAUAGAAGAAAAGGUCUCCUUAUAGUCAAUCCCUUCGCGUUAAGUGAAGCCUUUCACCACCAACCGAGCUUUGUAUCGCUUAACUGUGCCAUCAGAGUUAUAUUUGAUCUUAUACACCCAUUUGCACUCAAUUGGACGAUGACUGGAAGGGAGAGGUGUGAGUGUCCAAGUGUGAUUUUGUUCAAGAGCAUGGAGUUCUACAACCAUAGCUUCCUGCCAUUUUGGAUCCAAUACUGUUUGUUCAUAAGUUGUAGGUUCCACAAGAGUGGUGAUGGCACAAACAAAAUUCUAAUAUUUUGGUGAGAGUUGUGCAUAGGAAAUAUACCGAGUCAAAGGGUGACGUGUACUUGACAAGGAAGAAGAUUGGCUGGAAGCAACCUUGGUUGUGUGGUAAAGAUGAAAAUUCCAGAGUUGGACAUUUGGUUGCUUGAUACGGUUAGAACGAUGAGUAACAGGAGGUGGAGGUGACACAAUGGUGUCAAGAUCAAGUGUACGUUCAUUAGAGGUAGACUCAGGAGAUGAAAGUAAGGGUGGUGGAGACAAAGAUUGAUCAUCGGCUUGGGGUUUGGUUGUCUUUGUGGUUAUGGGUUCAUAUGAGGUUUGUGGUAAAGGAAGAAUGACCAUAUCAUAUUGUUCUUCUUGUGGAUUAUUGUGGAAUGGAAAUAUAUGUUCAUGAAAGACAACAUCUCGGGAAGAAAAUAAUUUAUUAGUUUCAAGAUCAUAAACCCGAUAACCCUUUUGACCAAGAGGAUAACCAACAAAUGUGCAACGACAAGCUCUUUAAUCAAAUUUAUGUGUGGGUAAGAGAUUGGUGGCAUAACAAAGACAUCCAAAAGUUCAUAGAUGAUGAUAUGAAGAUAGCUUGUUAUAGAGAAGUUGGUAUGGCGAUUUGUGAGAAAGAAGGGGUAUAAGUAAGCGAUUGAUUAAAUAGCAAGCCAUUUGAACAGUUUCCCCAAAAAAUUUUAACAGCAAGUUUGCUUGAAAACGAAGAGCUCUUCCCACAUUUAAAAGGUGACGAUGUUUCCUCUCAACCACUCCAUUUUUUUGGGGGGUGUAAGCACAUGAAUGAUGGUAAUUGAUCCCCUUAGUAUCCAAAUACUGCUUCAUAGAGGAAAUUUUAGUCGCAUUAUCGGUUCAAAGAGUUUUAAUGCAACGAUUAAAUUGUGUUUCCACCCAAGAAAUGAAUGAUUACAAUAUUCCUUGUGUUUCAUAUUUAAAACUCAUGAGAUGUAUUCAAGUAUAGCGGCGGGUAUGAUCAUCAACAAUUGUUAGGAAAUAACGAGCCUUGGAAUGAGAAUUUAUUCGAUGUGGUCCCCAAAUAUCACAAUGUAUCAAAUCAAAAGGUGCGUGAGAAGAAAUGAAACUAGAUGAAAAGAACAAACGAGUUUGUUUGGCUAAAGGGCAAAUUUCAUAAACAUGCUUGGAAUCAAAAUAAAUUUCAGGAUUAAUUUUAGCAAGAACUUGAAGAGGACCGGAUGAUGGGUGCCCAAGACGUUGAUGCCAAAGAUCAGAAUGUUUGUGAAUGGUGUAAGCCAAGGCUGGAUUUUGGUCGUGUGCAAGGUAGUAGAGGCCAUUAUGUUGCUUACCCAGGCCAAUCGUCUUCCUCGUAGUAACGUCUUGCACAACACAAAAAUCAAAACUAUACAUUGUAAUGCCCGCGUUAGUUUACUAACUGAUAGUAAAUUAACUUGAAAUUGUGGAACUUUGAGUACAUCAUCAAGUUUAAUGUGAGGGGUAACAUGCAAUGAACCAAUUGACUCAAUAUGUGCUUGACCACCAUCUGGCAAACUAAUGGUAGUGGUCCUGAGCAAAUUUUUCGGAUCUAAUAAUUCAAUUGAGUAAGUUGCAUGAUCCGUGGCUCCACUAUCAAUAAUCCAACACAUAUUUGAGUGUGGCAAUCUGGAGUAAUUUUGGAUGAUGGCAUAUUUAUACUUGUGGCAUUUGCAAAAUGUUGUGAAUUACCACCAUUGUUUUUACGAAUCAUAACCAUUAAUUGGUUAUAUUCCUCAACUGUGAGCCUUGAUCCAUCACUUGUUGGAAGAAAUUUUGUUUCUAUCUCCACAGCCUUAUUUGUUUCCACUUUCACAUUGUUUGCAUUUGAGUGACGUUGAUUGGGAGGCUUCAGGUUCUUCCCAUGAAGCUUGUGGCCAAUUGGAAAGCCAUGUAGGUAGUAACACUUCUCAAUGCUGUGAUAAUCACGGUCACAAUAAAAGCAGUGCAGUGGAGUAUUUUGCUUUUGAACUUGGUGUGCUAAAGUUGCCUUAUUGUCCCGAUCUGCAAGCAUGGCAUAACGAUUCUUGUUCCCAUGACUGAGAGAAACUUCAACCUGUUUUUCUUGUUGAAGGACAAGUGAGUAAACUCGACGUGUAUCAGGUAGAGGUUGCAUCAAUAAGAUUUGUCUACGAAUGACAGCAUAACUAUCAUUCAAUCCCAUGAGAAACUGCAUAACUCUUUUUUUUCAUCCAUUUCCUUAAGUUUCUCUAAUCCUCCAUAAGAGCAGAAUAACACUUCAUGAUAGGAUGAAAGUUUAUCCCAAAAAGCUUUAAGCUUUGUGUAAUAAACCGAAAUUGAUUGCUGCCCCUGCUUAUGUUCCACAAUGUCUCGCUUGAUCUAAUAAAUUCUUGAAUCUUUUCCUUGUGAAAAACGUUCUUGUAGAUCUGCCCAUAUUUAUGUUGCAGUUUCGGCAUAAAUCACACUGUUGGCUAUGUUUGGAUGAAUGGAAUUCAAUAACCAUGAGAUCACCAUAUCAUUGCAACGUUGCCAGGAAGGAAAACUAUCAUCAGUCGAAGAGGGUGGCUUAAUGGAACCUGUGACAAAUCCAAUUUUGUCUUUAGCACUCAAACUGAUUCUCAUAGCCCGACUCCAUGUGCUAUAGUUAUCUCCUUCAAGUACCUUGGAGACAAGUACCAUACCCAGGUGGUUUGAGUGGUGUAGAGAGAAGGGGUCUAAAGCUUUUGUGAUAGCCUUCGAUGAUGUCAAUCCUGUUUUGUUGAUGUCCAUGGCAGUAGCUGUAACGAAGAAAUAGGUUGCGGAAGCGCUUGGAAGAAUUCAGAGUCACCAGGUUUGGUGCUCUGAUACCAUGAAAGAAAACAGAGUAGAACAGAGUAUUUUGGAAGUUUGGAAAUCUGUUGUGUAUUCAAUCUAUCAACUUAAGGGAAGAAGAUGCAUAUAUACAAAGCAUUGGUUAGCCUAUUCUAGGAAUCUAUGUGCAAACGUAUCAAUUACAAUCAAUCAAAAAUAAUCUUCUAUAUACAAUCAAAUCUCAUCCUCAAAUUAUGGGAUCCUUGAUUCUUUUCCCAUAAUAAGGGCUCAUGGUUUUGGUUAAGACUUUUGUAUGGAACCCCAAAGGUAGAACAUAUAGAGACUACCAAGAUGUAGGAAUUUUCUACCAUACAUCCAUGAUAUGGUGAACUUGAAGCUGAGUUCGUUGGAUGGUUUUACUUUAUCCCUUAAUGGGUUGCUGUCUUAUUCUAAAUUGAGCAUAUAUUGUCAUCAAACAGUUAAUAAAUCAUGGGGUAGCAGAAGAAGUAAUUGAGAAAAUGAAGGCAGUUGUUCAAGAGUUCUUUAAAUUGCCACUAAAGGAGAAGAAUGCAUAUGCAAAACUACCAAAUGGGGUUGAAGGUUAUGGCCAACACUUUGUUGUUUCCCAAGACCAGAAGCUGGAUUGGGCUGAUAUACUUUUUCUUCAAUGCCUGCCAGCCUCCGAAAGAAAAAUGAGGUUCUGGCCUCAAGAACCCAUUUCUUUCAGUUAAAUAGAUUAACUCCUCUGAUUACAUGAAUUCUUUUUAUUAAUUUUUUCUACAGACUUUACCGUAUGCUUGGCACAUUGCUUAAGUUUCCACCUUGUAAACCAGGGCAACCUUAGACAAGUAUUCAUCAGAGCUCCAAAAAGUUUCAAUCUGCCUUUUGGAGUUGAUGGCUAAGAACCUUAUGAUUGAUCCUGGGCAGCUCAUGAAUAUGUUUCAAAAGGGAAGACAACAGAUAAGAAUGAAUUAUUAUCCCCCUUGUGUGCAUGCAAGCAAGGUUAUAUAUUUGUGGACUUACCCUUCUUGUUCAAGUCGAUGAAGUACAAGGCUUGCAAAUAAAGAGAAAUGGUAAAUGGAUACCGAUAAGGCCUGUCCCUGGUGCAUUCAUCGUCAACAUUGGCGACAUUCUUGAGGUAUUAAUAUGGUCAUUGGCAACCUGAAAGUUGGACGAGUAAAAUAAUUUAUGGUUUCAUUGAUUGUGAGCAGAUAAUGAGCAAUGGGGAAUACAAGAGCAUAGAGCAUAGAGCGGUGAUGAACCCAGAGACGGAACGCCUCUCCAUUGCAACAUUCUGUUCUCCGAGUGUUGAGACAAUCAUUGGUCCUUUACCAGAGCUUACAAAGGAGAAUAAUGGUGCAAUCUAUAAAUCUGUAGACUGGGAUGAGUAUUUAAAGUUUGCACUAAGUAGGGAACUUGAUGGUAAAAGUGCAAUCAAUCAUAUGAAGUUGGAGAACUGAAAGACCAAUGAUAACUUCCAUUGCCUGAGAACUUUGUUUGGUGAUUCAUGGACUUUUAUGGGCCAAGGCUAUUUUGGCCUUUAAACUGUGUUGUUUUACAUUAUUAAUGCUUAAUGCCUUCACUUGAUUGAUAAAGCUUGAAGAAAUUAACAAAAUAUCCUCAUCACUUUAAAAUAUUUAACACCGGGAAUUUUUCUACAAUAUGACAUAUCACAAUCACUCCCCAUAUAGAUAGGAAUGACAACGGGGCAGGUUCGGGAUGGGUCGCCCCCCUCCCAACCCUGCCCUGUUUAUUAAAAAAAAUUCUCAUCCCCAUCUCCUUCCCAUACCCGUCCCGCCCUACCCCGUUUAGCUUUUUUUUAAAAAAAUUACUUUUAAAUUUUUUAAUUACAUUAAAAUAAAUAUAUUUUAAAAUUUUAUAUGUAAACGGGGUGGGAUGGGGCAAUACCCGAACCCGCCCCGGGUUUAAAAAAAAAAUCUCAUACCUGUUCCAAACUCGUUUAUUAAAUUUAAACUCCGUCCCAUUAGGGGCGAAGCAGGGCAAGGCGGGGCGAGUAUCCGAAAAAACCCGUCCCGUUGUCAUCCCUACAUAUAGAGACAAUAUCCUUGUUGUGUCACACAAAAGGGUUGAGGAUUAGUUCUAAUUAUACCAUUAUAAUGGCCGAACCUCUCCCGAUAAUGUAAAUAUUAUCCACUUUGGAUCCAAAGGGUCCUCACAACAUUUAAAUGUAUUUAUAAGAUUAAAAGAAAUUCAAACAUAUAUAUGACACUAAAACCUUUUUUUCAUAUCCGAUGUAAGAUAUCACAAUUUAUAACCAUAGAUAUGUACAAUCAAAAUCAAACAUGAUACAUAAAAAGUAUUAAAACUUUCCACAAAAGAUCUUACUCUGUAUUGAAAUAAAAUUAUAGAACUUCACUAUAGUUUACUUCAAUCCUCACUUUCUAGACAAUGGUAACAUUGUUUUUCCACAAUUCUCUUAUAUUAGUGGUACAAGCAUCCAUCCAUUUUUAAAUAAAAUAUACAUAGAAUUAAAAAUAUAUAUUUUUAGUGUACUUUUUUUGUACUUAUUAAAAAACACCACCAAUAAAGUGGUACUAUGCAUCCAACUCGACUCUCAUUGCCUUGUACUUGAGUUUUAUUCCUUUGUACGAUAAUUAAAGUCUCAUUGUUUUGUAUCUCAAUUAUAUUUAUUUAUAUUUUGACCUUAUUCUUUAUUAUUUUAGGUUCAUUUAUUUGUAUUUUAAUUUUAUUUAUUUGUACUUUUAUUUAAUGAUCCAAAUUUUAUUAUAUACUUUUAAUGUCAUGAUUCAAAGUUUAGUACCUUCAAAAUUUUCAACAAAUAUAAUACUUUGGCACAAUCAAAAUGACAACUAAUUUUGAGUGAGCCUUUUUCCAAUGACAGGAAGGUCCUUAUGGCUUUCAAUCUAAAUUUUUCAUUCCAAAAUCAUUGUGAAUAUGUUGACAAGCAUAUUUUGAAAAUAAAGCAAAACAAAUUUAAAACAUAAUUAGGUCAUUGAACUCAUCAACCAUAUCUCCAUCGCAAAAUCAAAAGAUUAGCGAAGAAAAAGAAUCUCUAUUUACACUAUAAAGCAUAAAGAUUAGUAAAAAGGUAACUUGUACUCAAGAUUGCGCAAGAACUUUGAUUAAUCAUUGCUUUGAUAGGUAAGAAUCAAAAUUAGGAUGAAUGAUAUGGGGUUUUUUUUUUUUUUUUUUUGUAUUAUUACAUUUGUUUUCAAAAGAAAAUUUUGAAAAUUUGAAAAUUAUGAGAAAUAUAACACUACUCAUGUCAAAAUUAUCUCUAUAUAAAUUUAUAAAUUGUCUCUAUAUUAAAAUCUCAUUUUCAAAAAGACAAGUUACCUUAUAACUAUUCAUCUUAAAAGACAAUUUUAAUACAAAUUUAAAUUGUGCUCAUGAUAAAAUCUCAUUUUGAAAAAUCGGUUUUUGCAUGUAAAAUUAUAAUUUUAAAGGAUGAUUUUAGAAGCAUGAUGAUAUUUUUCUAAAUAUUUUAUGAACACUAUUUUUUUAAAAUAUGUCUUAUUAAAUAAAUUUUAAAUAUUAAAAAAUUGAAAAAAAAAAAAAAAAAAAAACCCUGGUCCCAAAGCCUCAACAACAGUUCUUUAACAUAAUAUUAAAAGAUUUUCGACUGCAAAUUUGAAAAUUAAAUUCAAAGUUUUUUUCAGCAACUUUGAAUGAAGGCUCUUCAAUCUAAAGUCAAGGUCUUAAAUGAGCCUUGGUUUUUAGGUGCACGAAUCUUUAGAUUUUUUCUGUAUCUCGCAAGCAAAACAUCAGCUUUAGGUAACGCGUCGUUUUCAAAGAAAAUAAAGCAAAACAUGUGUAUGAUGUAUAAUAUACAAUAAUGAGAAACCCUGUGGAGACAACAAAUGGUGGGUGAAGAAAUGAGCACAGAGUCGGGAUUCUUUCUUCCAGUUGAAAAUGUCCAAGCUCUCGCUUCCAACAACUCAGGUGAAAUACCAAGCCGGUACCUCCGGCCGGAACUCCAGUCAGAAGAAGUUUUGGCGGACGAGUCUAUCCAGAUUCCCACCAUAGAUAUGAGGAAGCUCAUGGUUGCUGAAGAUGAGAUGGGUAAACUUCACUAUGCCUGUAAAGAAUGGGGCUUCUUCCAGGUACAAUCCUUAUCCUUAUCUCUUGGGAUUCUUAUAGAGUUCCUGUUUUGAGCUGCAUCCCUAGUUUUAUCCCUUGGAAUUUGUGUUUUGGCUGCAAAAGAUCCACAUGAAAUUAAUUUAUGAUAUUUUGUUCUAAUCUAUCUUGAACAAUAAGUGCUGAAAAUUUCUCAUUUCAAUUUCUCUUAGAUAGAGACUUUAUUACUAUUUAGAUCAUGUCAACAUAAUUAGAUCUAAACCACCUUGGUGAAAAAUAAAAAAUCUUUAUUAUUCUGGGUAAUUAUUGAAAGUGUAAAUUAAAAUCAUUGAAGUCAGCUAUAGCCGAGUCUGUUGGAUAGUUUUAUCUUAUACCUUAAUGGGCUACUGUCUUAUGUUAAAUUGAGCAUAUUGUCAUCAAACAGUUGAUAAAUCAUGGGGUAGCAGAAGAAGUAAUUGAGAAAAUGAAGGCAGACCUUCAAGAGUUCUUUAAAUUGCCACUAAAGGAGAAGAAUGCAUAUGCAAAACUACCAAAUGGGGUUGAAGGUUAUGGCCAACACUUUGUUGUUUCCCAAGACCAGAAGCUUGAUUGGGCUGAUAUACUUUUUCUUCAAUGCCGGCCAGCCUCUGAAAGAAAUAUGAGGUUCUGGCCUCAAGAACCCACUUCUUUCAGGUAAAUAGAUCUACUCCUUUUAUUACAGUAUGCUUGGCACACAUUGCUUAAGCUUCCACCUUGUAAACCAGGGCAACCUUCGACAAGUAUUCAUCAGAGCUCCAAAAAGUUUCAAUCUGCCUUUUGGAGUUGAUGGCUAAGAACCUUAAGGUCGAUCCUGGGCAGCUCAUGAAUAUGUUUCAAAAGGGAAGACAACAGAUAAGAAUGAAUUAUUAUCCCCCUUGUGUGCAUGCAAGCAAGGUUAUAGGUCUCACUCCCCACUCAGAUAUUUGUGGACUUACCCUUCUUGCUCAAGUCAAUGAAGUACAAGGCUUGCAAAUAAAGAAAAAUGGUAAAUGGAUACCGAUAAGGCCUGUCCCCGGUGCAUUCAUCGUCAACAUUGGCGACAUUCUUGAGGUAAUUAACCCUAAAUGUCCUAAGUAACAUUACCUUGUAUUAAUAUGGUCAUUGGAAACCUGAAAGUUGGAGGAGUAAGAUAAUUUAUGGUUUCAUUGAUUGUGAGCAGAUAAUGAGCAAUGGGGAAUACAAGAGCAUAGAGCAUAGAGCGGUGGUGAACCCAGAGACGGAACGCCUCUCCAUCGCAGCAUUCCAUUCUCCUAGUGUUGAGACAAUCAUUGGUCCUUUACCAGAGCUUGUAAAGGAGAAUGGUGCAAUCUAUAAAUCUGUAAGUAGGGAGGAGUAUUAUAAAUUUGCAUUUAGCAGGAAACUUGAUGGUAAAAGUAUAAUCAGUCAUAUGAAGUUGGAGAACUGAAAGACCAUGAUAACCAUGUAUUGUUGAAAGAAUUGAGUUGAAUAAUCAUGUGAUCAAUGGUGAUUUAAGACAAUUGCAAUUUGCUACUAUAGGUAAUUGGGACGAAGCUAACUCAUUGCUUUUUCCAAAGUUCGUCUUAUUCCUUUGCAGGUAAAGAUAAUUUAGACAAAUGCAUUCAAAAUUUGUGAUUAGCUACAUUUAAGAGUGUGAUUUGAGUGAACCCAUCCCAAUCCGAAUCCAAGUAACAAAUUUUCAAUACUUGGAUUGAAUUUGAAUUAGAUUUUUUCAACUCAAAAUCAAUACGAGUCAGACUUGAGCAACUCCAACAUAAUUUUUUUGGUUAUUUUUAAGUUUUAUCUAAUUUAUUAUUUAAAUUUUGAUACAAACAUGGAGAAAAAUUAAAAAAAAACACAAUGAAUUUUGAAUUAUGUAAUUCAACCAACUCCAACCAAUCUAAAUAACUCAAAUUUUAAAAAGUGAGGUUAAAAUGAACUUGGAUGAAGGCACUUUCAAAGGUAGGAUUAGGAGUUAAUUAUGUAUUAAUUUAGAUCAGACUUCAAUUACUCAUCAUCCUAACCAAACCACUAAUGUUGGAGUAUUGAAGUGCACCUGAGAUUGAUUCUAAAAAAACAUUUUUAACAUUAUUAACAUUUGAAUGAUUAAAAAUUUCAAGUGUUAAAAAAAUUAAAAACAUUUUUUAAAAUUAACAUCUUAUUUUAAUGAACUCAAACAAGCAAGUUAAAAUUAACCCAUUUGUAUUAUUUCUACAUCCGAUGACAUCAAGAUUCAAUGGUAAAUGGUUUUUUUAUUAAAUAAAAAAAAUUAAAUAUUUAAAUUUUUUUACUUAAAUAAAAAUAACCUAUUAAUUUUAAUAAAUAUAAUUAAAUUAAAAUAAUAAAUUUACUUUAACUAUAUUAAUUGAUAUAAUAAAUUAUUUUUAACUGAAUAAAAAAAAUUAAAAUAAAAAAUUAAAUAUUUUAAUUUUUUUUAUUCAGUCCAAAUGAUGAUGAGGCAUUUGUUCUUCCAUCAUCUCAAUGACACAAAAUAUUAACAUUCAAAAUGAUCGUGGAAGUUAUUCAACGUAAAAAAGAAAACAAAAUUUUCUUUGUCAGUGGUCGGUCCUAAGGGCCUGAACCAAGGUGUCAUAGUUUCCCUGGAAGGGAUUGUAGUUGCCUAGUGCCUACUACUUGCGUUGUUCUUGCGAUUUUAUUUGCAUAUACUAAAUAUUUUCAUUAUUUAGACGAGUAUUUGUACCAAACCCAAAUAUUAGAAUGAUAAAAUUAUAAAAUUAAUGAUAAUUCAAAUAAAAAAUAAUAAAAUUUCAUUUCUUUCCUUUAUGAUAUAUAUUCUUAAUAAUUAAAUAUUAUAAUUUUACUAUUUAAUAAAAAAAAACAUAUUAGUAUAAAUUAAUUUUAACAAUAACAAAAAGAAAAAGGAAAAAAAAAGGGGGCAUCAGUUCUCCAAGGUGAAAUAGCAUCAAUGGAAAAAUUCAGACGCAAAUUACCCAUUACUUCAUGAGAUUCAUCACUUGCCCCUGCCAAACUCAAUCGCCAAUACUCAAAGAAAUAACAAAAACACUUUCCCUUUCAUCAAUUUCACGAAAAAACCUUCAACAUUCAUCAGAAAAAAUCAGAAAAAACAAGGUAAAAAAUCAUGAGAGUAUAUGUGAAAGAAAGAAAUAAUAAUGAGAUGUGGAUGUGUGGGAUGUAGAAGGCGAUCAGAACCUGUCGGGAUUCAUUGUUUAACAUCAUCUGAUGUUGAUAUCAGUGGAUUGACAGACCAAUGAAUUCUAUCGUCACCUCGCUUUUUCCAAUCUCAAACCACACACAACAUUCCCAAAAUCAACGAAUGAGUUUUCGAAAAAACAGAUCUAAAAUCAAAACUCCAGCAUAUACGAAAACAUGUAAAGAAAAGAAAAAAAGAAGCUCAGAACUUCUUAGAGGGUUGUGUUACCAUCACAGACCAACUCCGAAGAGAGUCUUUGGUACACAAGACUAGAUUUUCAUCAUUGCAAUAGCUACCAGAACUAGCAUUCGAAGAAGAAGGCAGAAACUAGCAUUUGAAGAAGAAGGCAGAAACUGGCCUAUGAAGAAGGCAGAGAGGGGAAAGAGAAGCAAGGAAAGGAGGCUGGUGUGGUGAGUGGUAGACGAGAGGAAGUGCAGGGAGAAAGGGCCUUUUUAUAGGACAAACCCUAACCCUAAUUUCAUGUCUUGAGAUUAAUGAAGGGAAAUUGUCCCAAAUGGAAUUUAUUUUGGGUUUUCUGUAUACAAAAUUAAACGGUGACAGAAUUAGCUUACUAAAAUUCAUUUUCUGACAUUUGGAAAAUACUUUGCAACAAUUUGGGGAUGAAUAUUUUAUUUUCAUCCCUACUCCCGAAUUUGGUCAUUUCUAGGUAGGAAUGUAAGAUUGAAAUUAUAAUUUGUUUUCAUUUUAAUAUUAAGUAAAAAUAAAAAUAAAAAUAACAAAUAUAUAUAUAUAUGUCAAUAAUAUCUAUGAUUUAAAAUAAUUUUUUUUAUUUAUUUUUAAAAAUAUCUUAGUAUAUAAUUUGAAAAUUUUUCUUUAUUUUUAUUUAAAAAAACACUUUAAAGUUUUUUUUUGUUAAAUAAUAAAAAUUUAUUUGGACGUGUGAUUUAAAAACAAAUUAUUUUUAAAAAAUUAUGUCACUAUUUGAUUGUUGUUUUUAAAAAAUAAUUUUUAAAAAUAAAGUAAAAUAAAGAAUUGAAUUUAUUAAUGAGUUUAAUAAUUUAAAUAAAUAAAUAAAACUCAAAAAAAUAUUUAUAAUGACUAUAAAAAUAAUAAACAUAAUUAAUAUUUUAAUUUUUUUUAAUAAAUCUUGUAAGUUUUAAGUAUAAUUUGAAAUUAAAAAAAAUGAUUAAUUAAUUUUAAAUUAAAUAAAAUAAUUCAGAAUGUCUUAUUCGUGAUUAAGUUGGCUCAUUUAUACCUUAAAAAAUUAAAUUUUAUUUAUUUUUAUAUUCAUUUAAAAUAGAAUAGUAUUUGCAAUUAUUAAAUUUUGAAUAGUUAUUCUUUAUUUUUAACAAAAUAAAUUAAUUAUGUUUUAUAAGAUGUUAUUAUUCAUAUUUUUAUAAUAUUUGUAAAAUAAUAUAAAUAGUAUUAGAAAUUAUUAAUUUUUAACUAUUAUUAUUUAUUUUAACAAAAUAGAUCAAUUAAUGUUAAUAUCUAUAGUUUUAUAAUAUUUAUAAAAAUAUAAUUUAUGAUUUUAUUAUAUUAUUAAUAUCCAUAUUUUAUUAAAACCUAUUUAUUUUUAAUUUAUUUGUAAUUAUUUUUUUUUUAAUAAGAUGUGAAUUAAACUUAGUUUACAUUAUACAAAUUGAAUUUACAAUUUCGUUUUUGACAAAAUCAAAAUAAAAAAACAGUUUUUAUAAAACAAUUUAUCUAAAAAGUCUUUAAUUUUUUAUUUUUGAAAAAUAUUUUUAAAAAUAACUUAUACUAAGGAAUCAAAAAUACCUCAUAGGAUAAAUUUCAUUUCCAAUUGAAUCAUUUUUUAUUCCACUCUCAUCAUCUUCAAGUCAUCCAAACUUGGGAAUAAAAGAAGAAAAUGAAUAAAUUGUCAAUUCUUACUCCUCAUUUCUGCACAUCAAACACAACCUAAAAGGAUUGUUGAGCAAAUUUCUAAAUUACUCUUGAGAACGUAGACACAUUUUAUGAGUAAAAAAUGUUCAAUGUUGUUUUAAAAAAAAAAUAUAUAUGUAGAUAGCUAAGGUGGCAAUUAUUUCAUAGGAAGGAGAUCAAAAUAUGUCAAACUUUCAAAUAUGGUUUAUAAUUUGAAAACCCAAAAUUCCUAAAAUCUCAAAAUAUUUGUCAUUACCUUAAAUUUUAAAUUUUUUAUUUUUACUACUAUAGAUUUUAAAAUUUUUAAAUAUUUUAUUUUUUAAAGUAGAGAAUAAUGCUAAUUUUUCUAACUUAAGAAAUAAAGAUUCUCAUAUAAAAAAUAUAGACUUGGAUUACAAGGAAAAGUAAGAUUUGACUCAGUAAUAUGAAAAUAUAUGAAAAAAAAGAAUCUCAAAUUUUUUAAAUUAUCUUCAUCUAUAUAAAAAUAAUUUGAAAUACAUGCAUUUUUUAAUGAGUCAUCUAAUUAUUCCAAAAAAAUACCCCUUUACUUGUCAUAUCAUCUAAAUCAAUUGACAACUAGACUAUUCAUAUAGAUGUUUUCUUUCCUUUUCUUUUAAAUAUUUUAUUGUUAUUAUUUUUUUAUUUGAAUUUUUUUUUCUUUAGAAACAUUAUAAAGUAAGAAUUUGAAAAAAAAGAAAGUUUAUUCUAGUAUUAAUAAGUUAAAAAUAAAUUCAUAUUCUUGAUAAUAAAUAAACCAAUAAUAAAUUUGUAUUUGUUAUAUAAUAUUAAUAAUUGUAUGAUAUAAUAGAGAAUAAAAUUUGUUGUAAGAGUUUUUUAGAUAUAAAAUAUUUUACAAUAUAAUUGUACUUUGAUAUAUAGUAUAAAAUAAAUAAAUAAAUAAUUAUUUUAUAUUAAAUAAAUUAAUUAUAAUUAAAAUAUUUAUAUUUUAUUAAAUUUAUUGUUUAUUAUUUAAUAAAUAAUAUUAUUAUUUUUUUGAAUUGGUAAUUAUGAUUAAAUAAGAUUUGUUUGACAAUAUUUCCUCUUAAAAUUUUAGGAAAUAAAAAAAAAUUAAUUCUUAUUUAAAUAGGACUUUUUUUUUUGCACAAUAUUUCUUAAACUUUUAGGAAACUAAAAUAAGAAUCCUAUGAGAUGUUUGUUUCCAAAGAAAAAAAAAAUCUCAAAUAAUAAAAUAAUAAUAAUAAUAUAUUUUUAAAAAAAAAUUUAUAUGAAGGAGUGUAGUUGUGAAUUGAUUUGAAUGACAUGACAAACAAAAGAAUAUUUUUAAAAUAAUUGAAUGAUUCAUUAAAAAAUGCAUGUAAUUCAAAUUAUUUUUAAAUGUACAAAGAUAAUACUAAUUUAAAAUUUUCAGAGUUCUUUUUUUCAUAUAUUGUUAUAUUAGUGAAUUAAACCCUACUUUUCCUUGGAUUAUAUCUUUAAAAAUUACUUUAAAAAAUUUUUAACAUCCAUUUUAAAUUUUAUUUGAAAAAUAACAAUUUAAUUUUAUAUUAUUGGAUUUUUUAAAUUUUGAAAACAAAUUAUCGAUGAAAUGAUCUUGGGCGAUUUUGGUCGAACUUGCUGGGUUGAGAUAAUGGAAACUUGGAUUUCAAAAGAAUCGAAGUAAGAGAUAGUUUUCCAUUGAAUAAAAUGAAAGAGAGAUGCAAAAAGGAAAACAUGGGUUGACUAAACACUUCCACCACAUCUCAUAUCCUUAUACGCAAUUAUGUAAAAUACGUGAUCUUUAAGACUAACAUCAAAUUCACCUUCCCCUAAAACAUAAUUGCAAUUAUAUAUAUCGAAAAUAAUUUUAAAUUAGAUUAAACUUUUUAUUAUUUUUAAUUUUUUAAAAAAUACAUAAAAAAGGUUAUUUUCAGAUGGCUGUUGAAACCUUUCUUCAAAGUACAUGCCUUGUGAUAUGAAUCACAUGAUUUUAAAAAAUUAAGAGUAAUUCUAUCUUCUCUUUAUUUAAAAAUAAAAAAAAUAAAAAUAUUGCUUAAAAUUUGGGCAAUCAUAUGUAACAUAGCAAAAUUUGUUUUUCAUUGUUUUUAGGUGACUAGAAUUUCAAAUUAUGCAAAAUCAAAAGGUCUUACUUGCGCAGUCACCCAUGUUUUUUUAAAAGGAACUCAACAAGUGUACAUAUUUUUCAUACAUAGAAAUUUUAAUAUUUUAAUUAAAUUAUCCAUUAAUAAUAUUUUAUUUGUAUCUCAAAAAUUUUACUUUAUUAUUAUUUUUUUGUUUAUAAUUUCCUCUUCAUUUGUAUAAUUUUUUUUAAGCCUCGAUUUUUCAAAAGAGAAAAACAAAUGCAAAUCAGGUCUUUGUGAUAUAUAAUUCAGCAUUUCUCAAAAGAAAUAAUAGAAUUAAAUACUUUAAUUCUAGGCGAGUAAGACCAAUGCGGCAGAGGAGAUAAAAAUAAAUUCAAAGAUUACCGCUUAAGCUAAAAAAAAUUUUAGUUACUCCUGGUACCUGAGAUACGAAGCAGAUGAUUGUCCAGUUUAAAUAUCAUACAUGCAGAGUCGGCGGUGGGCUGGGCUGGGCUCCAACCUUGAAUUUCAAUUUCUUGUUCUCAUACUGCAAACCGAACUUCUUAUUCGGUUACUUUUCCUAUUUUUCUGGAAACAAAUUUAAAUGAAAAAACAGCAAAGACAAAAAAAAAUCGGAUUUGGGAUUGGAUCUAACCAGGGGCAAACACUCAGAUGAAUCACAAAGCCCGACAACAAAGAAUCCACAAAAGAAUAGGGACUUCCAGUUGUGAAUUUGAAUCAGAAUAUCAAGCAGGCACUUUAUAUGAAAACUUACAUCAACUAUUAACGCAACUACAAAACUCCAAUGGAAAGUUAGAAUGAAGUUAAAGAGGUACACAAAAUGGUCAUGAGAAAAAGGAACCAAAGACUAAAGCAUUGAAGUUUUUGUAUGUUACAAAAAUAAACAAACAAACAAACAAACAAACAAAACCUCUCCAUCUGGACUAGAAUUGAGUUAGAAAAAUUGAGAAACCUACUCCUGUAACCUAUUCUCUACAUUCUCAUGCCACUAUGGUUAUGAAAGGAAUAAAACUGCAAAACUAUAUCAAUGAUUUUAUACAGCUUUAAACAUAUUUACAGUGCCAAGAGUCCAAGGCUAUGCCGGGAGCAGUAGAGAUUCGUAUCUCUUGAUCCUGUUGACACCAAGAGGACUCUAAAAUGUGUACAGUUCCCUUCUCAAAUAGUUGAUUCUUUUAUGUCAUAAACUAGACUCAUGGGCCCAGAAAGUGUCUGGAUCAGGACUGAACAAAGAAAAAUCUUGGAUUUCUAGAUUUGCUAUGUGCCAAUCAACAAAACGAGCUUGUAUUGACUUGAAGAGCAGAAGGAUGGUUGACAAAAGCCACCAUUUAUCGUCUUCCCUGUGGACAUAACAGUUCAAAAGCUCUAAAGAGAUUUGCAAAAGUUUAAAAUGCAUAAAUUAAUAAAUAAACAAAUAAAUUUAGGCAAAGAAUAGGAUCAAGAAUUCCAAAACUUAGAUAAGAUUUUAUAAUGUUCAAAAAACAAAAAAGGACUAUAUUUAUAUCAAUUGAAUGGUAACUUUUGAUCCAAUUUGGGUGAUCAUCUUUAUGGAUCUCCCUCAUUGAAACUAACAGAGCGGAGCACAACGCUCAUCUCCCUGCAUAGGAGCAAUGUGCAAAGAAGAUGACUAAAAGCUUCCCCAUCUUUAUAAAUUGCUCUAGAAUUUAUUGUAUCAUGGAUGUUGCAAGCUAGCUAAUCUUCCUAUAGAUUUAAAGAGUAACACUUCUCAAUCAUACAUAUUGCCCUAGGAUUGAUUUUAUGGUGGACACUGCAACCUAACUAAUCAUUUCUAUGCAUUUGCAGAUUGGAACUCUUUUUGUAUAAUAAUGAGAUAAAAAGGUGCUUAACUUCAGCUUAGAUUCAUGAAUUUCAUAAAUAUAACUUGUUCUCUUUCACCAACUAGGCUAACCAUGGCUAAUACCGAGUACCAUAGAAAUGAUUAGUCCAAAACCCAAAAUAAAGCAAACCAUAAGUUUGUAACUUGGUAAAGCUCAAGUUUUUGUUGUGUGCUCAAGGCUGUGCACACACUUGUUUGCAAGUUCCUGUUGUAUUAUAAUUGAAAAAGCAACUCUUAUUGUAUUCCAAGAAUGCCAUUAUCUUAUUUUUAGAUAGGAUUGUCUAAGUUGAAGGUCUUACCUCCUUGAAUGCCAUGUAUUUGCUUUUUCAGAUGGUUGAAAAAAGGAAAGUCCAUAGUGACAAAUGCCGCAGAUGAAAGCCACAGCCUGCAAAUAUCCAAAUUAAUCAACUUGAAAUGAACAUAUGAAUUCAAUGGCAUGAAUAGUGGCAAGGGAUUGGAUGGAGAUGGGAGGUUCCAUUCCAUGAAGCCAAGAAAAUAAAAUAAAAUAAAAUAAAAUUAUAUUAGCCUCCUUACCAUUUUAAAAAGAAGCACAUCUAACUUCAAUAUCCUAACCUUAGAACCAGUAACUCAAGUAAUGAGGCGCCAUAUUUCUGAAUAUGAGGCAUGAUGAGGUUUGUGGAAAUCUUACUUUUUUUCUAUGUUGCAUACCAUUUGAAAUUAAUAAAUAAUUAAAAAUAAAAAAGGCAUAAAUUCCAAGAAGAAAGUGGAUGUGGUGGAAAAUAACGACUUCGAUACAGCAUAGUGGUUUAAAAUUUUUUAUAUUUCUUUCGGUAUGAAUCAAGUCAUGGAUUCAUAUGGGGGAUUUCAACAGAUCCUUAAAUUCUUAAUUAAACUAAUAGUCAUUCAACUUCUAAGGAAAAACUUACAAUGUUUGAUAAAGAUGUAGCAUUCCACAAUGCAUAUAUGCGAGCUAGCGAAGAUCUUCUAGGUCCUUGACUGAAUAAGGCAUUCAAGCCUGCAGGGAAGGGAGAGAGCAAGGAUAGAGGAAGAAUAAGCAAGACAGCAAGAAAAGCCCCAAGAGAAAUCCAAUAGAACUGGAGCAAUGUAAGGAGGGUGACUGAAAGAUCUGCCAGAAGAACUAUAGAUAUCAGCAGCUGCAGGGACUCCUGAAACACAAAAUAUCCAAAUAUGAGAUGUUGAAUAAUAAUCCAAUAAUUAUCUUACUCUCUCUUCCCUGUUUUCCUUUCCCUUAUUUAUUUUUUGGUGGGAGGAGAGUUGUAAGAAUCAUAAUCUUGCUUAAGAGGCACCACAUGUAAGUAGAAAACAUCAUCUAAGUACCUGACGUCCAACAGGUCCUGUAUUGUGCAAUAAGAGAGAAAAUGGAAAGAGAAAGUCCCUUCUAAAAUCCAAAGAUUUCAAAGUAGCAUCAUUUAUUAGACCUCCAUUGAUUCCACCAGUAAUCCUUUUUCGAGAUAAUGCAUGACUUGUAUGUGGCUGACUCUUCUGCAGCUGUUUAAGGCUUUUUCUUGCAACUGCUGUAUCUUUUCUGGAAUAUAAAUGCAAAAAAAAAAACAAAAUUACCUUCUCAUACCCAAAUAGGCCAAUACCAGUCCAGGUGCACUAACAUAACUACAGGACUCAAUAUUAUCAUUUAAGACCAGUGAAACUUGGGGAAAAGUACACUCACCUCCCUUGAGGUUUUGAGUAAUUUCAGUGACAUCUUCUGAUGUUUUCAAAAUGGAAUUGAACUCCCAUAUAGCUAUUAGAGGGCAACAUAGGGGCAUGUGUGGAGACAACUUGUGCCCACAUACCUCAAGGCAUGUUGGUGGUGGCAUGUCUAAACUCAAACAAGGCAGUGUGACUAGGUAAUCAUAUUCAUGGUGGAGAGUGGGGCUUCUAAUGAUGUGCAUUGGUGGGAACUAGGCUAAGGCAACCUUGAAGGAUCAAAGUGGCUAAGUGGCACAUGUGUGGUGAGCAGCUGGCAGUGCUGCAAGUGCUCACCACAAUGCCAGCACACAUUGCAUGUCUCAUAAGGACGGUGUGUGGCAAUGGCACCACGUGAUGACACAUUCAUGUAGGCUCGACACAACUAGUGUUGAGUGUUAACACUUUGACAGGUUCCCUAAGUUGUUGGAGGUCUAAGAAGAAUUUUCCCAGUGCUGAGGUAUUUUUCCUACUUGUUUUAUAAUUAUUUUUCCAAGUGAUGAGGUCUCCUCCUAAAAAACCUGAGAAUGACAAAAUACUCUUUAAUAGGUAUGUGUGUGUGCGAGUAUGUGUGGAUGGGGGAUAACCCAAGGGUGUGAGCAUACCUGAGCACAACAAGACUGUCCAUGAACAAGUGCAAGACACCAUUAGAGCUUGCACACACCCAAGUGCACAAUGGCUUGGGCAAGGCAUGGGGGUGUAGACACUAGGCCAUGAGCGAAGCAUGGCACAUAACAGGUGUGGGCUAUGUGGCUGAGACAAGGCAGGAUGUUGGCAACUUGGUGCAUGGGUUGCAGAUGGGAAAUGCUAUAUGCAUGAACCUUGGCACAGCCAAGGUCCCAAGACCCUACAACACGAGGAAAGGUUCUCCUGCUAAACAAGGCCUGGCUUGGGACAGCAUGCAUGCAAACCCAAGGAAGGGGAGCAAGCAAGGCACAUGUCUAGGAGGCCACUCAUCAGGGGCUGGUUGGCUGAAGCAUAAAAUAUGGGCCUGUGGCUGACUCGUGGCAGAUACGAAGGCAAUUGAUGCAUGGAGAGGUGGCUCAGUAUUCAUCAGUAGAUGGGGUUGUGCUGCAGAUGCAUGGGCCAUUUGGCAAUACUUGAAGCAAGGCCAAAGUAUGUGGGACACCCACGGAGAAGCUGGGGACCUUAAGAAAUUGCCAAGACAAGUGGUAGAACAUGGGCUAGCUCUCAAAACAUGGACAAAACAUGGGAAGUUAUUUGGAGUAACUGAUGGCCCUUGAUUGCCUAUAAAUACCCUAUUGUGCAUGUGAAAAGGAGAGAGUCUAUGCAUAGUCAUAGUGCAAUUUUGUAAGCCUUGGUUUCUUGCAUUGUGAGGGAAUAAUACAAGUUGGGAAAGUUAUUUCCUGUAAGUUGCAUGUGUUGUUUGUGUGGCUGUGUGGGUUGCAUCUGCAUGAGUUGGCUAAAUGACGGGUCUAAGUGUCAUCACAAAAAAAGAAAAAAUUAUCAUGGCAGUGAAUUUUGUGACAUUUUCCAUCAAACAAUUGUGCUUUAAAGUAAGGCAAUACUAAUUCUUCAAGCUAAAUUUUAAUAAUGUCAACAUUUUCUCACUAUAUUUGACAGCAAAGUAGCAACAGGUGCUCCAUGACCAUAUUGGCAAAUCACAGGAGAUGUCAAUUCUAUUUUUAAAACAUUAGGGAAAGUUUUCCAGAAAUCUCAAGGCAGGUAAGAUGUUCACCCAGAAACAUAUCAUGGCACAUAUGUGAAAGAAAAAAAAAUUAAUAUGCUAUAGUAGUAGCCUCAACUAUCAUGAUGAGAAAUGAACUUAAUCAUUGGAAGGAAACAAGAAGGAAAGGAAAAUAAAAUAGAAACCCAUGGAUAAGAGGUCUCUUGAUAACAAAUUAAAGAACAAAUCUAGUAGAAAGUAUUUUUGUUUUUAUAGGGAUUGAGAAUAAGAAAAUUAACAAAAUGAAACCAAGCCAACAACUCGAGGUACUAAUUUCCAAUGCACAUCAUUGUAUUAUUAUUAAUCAACAGUGACUUAUCUCAACAAUUUGGGGCAACCAAUAAAAAUCCUGAACCACCUAUUAAAUGCAAAGUCAAUACAACUUCUCCAAUGAUCAGAAAAAACAUGCUACAGUAUCCAAAUCAGUUCAUGCAAACAGAUGUUAUGAGAAGUUCUCUCUGGAAGAAGCUAAAGUAACUGUUUAGCAUUUUUUUAUGUACACAACAGGUGAUUUUACAGACUGGGUUUCUUUCAUAUGGUGCAAUAUUUUUGCACCUGUUCUCCCAUAAAGAGUGAAAGGUCUUCAUCUAAAGGUUUUCUCACCAGUGCACUGGACAACACAGUUUCAGAGGUAGGGAUAUGUCACUGGUAUGGAGAACAUAAAGAAACUACAACCAAUUCACCAAAAUUUAUCACAGUUGAUUGCAACAUGUGUCAGAGCUAGUAUUAGACACUUUAUCAGUAAAUGGAUAAACCAUGUUUUAUAGAUCUUAAAAUGUGCAGGAAAUGGUGAAGCAGAAUUUGUGUGAACCAUAUACAGAUGCUUCUCAUGUGUACAAUCACAUAAAGUUACCUUGGACAUUCAUCACUACUUCUGUCCAAUAGAUCAGACUGAUUCAUGUUAUGGAGCGAGUAAUCGCCAACAACUACCAAAAUACCCAGUUGAUAAUAACCAGAAGCAGUGGCCUGGAACCAUCCAAGCUCAAUUUUAACCCCAUGGAACUCAAGUUGGGGGUUUCCAUGACUACUGAUCCAACGAAUAAUAGGAAUUAAUGCAGAACGGAUGGAUCCAUGUCUCACUGUCCUUAAUUGAGCAUUCAAACCAGCCACCAAACGAUUCCAGACAGUAGCAGGGACAUGCUGGGUAUACAAAAACAUAGUGAAAAUGUUGAAAUGAACAAUUGUUAUAGCUAUUCAAAAGAACAGAAAUAAAAGAGGCUGCUAAUAAACCUGGCCAAGAAGAUUUGUCAAUAAUGUGUCACUGUAAAGAUUAUAAGGGGACAUAUAGCUUCCAUCACCACCGAAAAUGAUGCACAUGGGGAAUCUCUUCUGUAUAAUAGACACUAUGUCUAUGCGCUUUUCAUCACCACCAAGGAAGAAAUCAAUAUAUGCAACCAUCAAAUCAGGUGUUGCUCCAACCUGCAUUAAUUGCCACUCAUAUAAAGGCAUGAUAAGUAGAAAAUUAGUCUUCCAAUAUUCAAAGGAAAUGUUUCCUUGAGAAGACUAUUUUACCAUUAUUUUCUUCUUCGUGAACUGGGGAGGAUGAUAUACAUGUCUAUCCCAGUUGUUCUCUUUCCAGGACACAGAGUUUGUUAUGAUUAGAUAAAUGAAUAUGCUUAAUGAUUAUUUUCAUCUCAGGGAGAAUAAAAUGAGGAGAGCUAACAAGUAUUUGAUGCUCAGAAGCUGCUACAGAUACAUCAUACCAUGACAAGUGGAAAAUCAAGAACCUCCCAACUAGAGCUAAAGCCUAAAAAACUCUAUUUCCCUAAAUUUUUGUUAUUAGCCAUCUUUAGCCUUUUUAUUUGGAAGAAAAAAUUGAAAUUUCCUCUUUAUCUUUUUAUAUAACAAUUUUUUAGUCUAGUACUAAAAUUUCGUAAUGUUGCUUAAUACUAAUAUGCAAUCUAAUUAAUCUUCUUAAUGAAAUUAUUGAAUUGCUUAAUACUAAUAUGCAAUCAAAUAAAGAUUAAAUACAUUAACAAGGAGAUUAUUUAAAUAUAUAAUCUAGAUUCUUGUUUUUUUUUUAAAUAUGAAAUAUUUUGUUGCAUUUGUUUUCUAGCUUUUUAUAUAAUAAUAUUUUAUUUUACUACUAAAACUUCUUCAUGAAAUUAUUGAAUUUCUUAAUACUAAUAUGCAAGCAACUUAAAUCAAUUACAUUGCUAAUGAAAUUAUUUAAAUAUAAAAAUGUUUUGGAUAAUAAGGGCAAAUUUAUUGAAUAGAAGCAUCGUAGAUUACAUUUAUGUUUUUAUUUUUUUUUAAUAAUUUAAUUUUCCUUUUAUGUUGCUAUUAUUCGAAGACUGCUCUGUGUGAACCAAAUGCCGAACUUUGCCACUGCAUAAUCAGGCUCUUCAGCUGUACAUCUAGGGAAUAUCUAAAUAUAGAUAUUCAGACUUUCUAAGCAUAUAGGGUCAUGUGCAUGUGCCUGUCAAACCAGCCAUCAAGUGGUUGCAAUUAAGAAAUCUCUGAGGCAAAAUUGAGAUGAUUUGGAUGAUUCAAAAUUUUGACAUAUUUACUCUGUAAACCCAUUGAUUCUUCUAGGUGGGGCCCAUCCAGAGGCAGAUGUAGCACCUAAUUUAACUGCCAUGUACCAAGUUCUAGUAAGUUUACCAAUCCUCAAUUUUAUUUUUUUUCUUCUAAAAUUUUUUGCCAUUUUUACUUAUCAUAUUUUUUUCAUGAUGGGAAACCUAGAAUUUCAUAAGAAUGCAAAAUGAGUAAAUACAGUAAGGAUAAGAGAUAACUCAUAUUAAACAUAAGAAAAGAAAAAGGGAGAAAGGAAAAAAGUACAAGGACGACAGGGAAAACCAAGCAAAAGAAGAUCUCAGGAAAAACCCAAUCCAGUCUCAGGAAUCUCUUAAGAGGAAGAAAAUUUCCUAUCAACAGAAGGGGAUACUCCUUGAAUAGAAUGUUUACCUCCCAAAAUCAGCCAACCUAGGCUUCCACAUGAAGGAGGGAACCAUGUCCCUCAAUACUCUCAGGGGUCUCUUGUAGCCAAGGAUGAAUAUGAGGAGAUAGUGACCAAAUAGUCCUCUUCCACCCUGUGAUUUCUAGUCACCAAUGGGAGACCUGUUUUAGACCUUUGAAGUUUGAACAAAGGUAAGAUCUCUACCUCAUGGUCAAUGACUGUCCUCUAAGUAGCUAAGCAACCGUUGUAAUUCUAGAUAUAAGACUGUUAAGAGUGGUAAUAUACAUUUGAUGAUAAAAUCCAAAAGAACUAACAAAGAAUUCUCUCACAUUCCAACAAUCUGUUUACUCAUCCUCAAAGAUCCAGGACCUCUCUCAAGUUUUGAAACCUGUGCAUGGCUAACAAAACACAAUGACACAACGUGUUGUUCCUAGCUUUCUUCUGAAAAUCCUGAAAAGAAAAAACCAACAUAUCUGGGAUAGCUUUCAAAUAUAACAACACUGACCGAUGAAGAGAAAGAUAGCUGACUGCCCAUUCAUCCCAAAUACACCUGUCACUGCUGAUUGCUUUGACUUUCAGGGGAACUAACUUCCAAAUUAAACUUGCCAUCUGAAAGAUGACCAGGUUUUGCUUUUGGAUAAGAAAAGUGAAAAGGAUUCUAAUGAAAAGAGGUCAUCAAACUAAGAUUUUCUAGAAAGACAAGAUUCUCCAUGAAGGAGAAUUGAGAAGGGUAGAAAUAGUAGGAAGGAGUAACAUCCCCCUACUAGAAGAAAGUAAAGUAAAAAAUAUCAGAAACAAAAUUGUUGGUUCUCUCUAAACUUCAGCAAUAAGUUCAUAAAUUAGAUGGUUUAUAUAUAUUAUGAUUAGAAAUACUAUAUAUAAUUACAUUUAAUUGAUUAAAUUAAUUAAAUAAUAAGACCAUAUAAUUGUAUUAUGAUUAGGUUUCAACUUUUAAGCUUUAUCUCUUUAGCCUAUGUUAAAAUCUUGAAAAUAAUUUUCACUCUAAUCUUUGAUAAAUGAGAAUAUUGACAGUUUGACUAAAUUUGAAUAUCUAUUCCAAUAGAUACCAAACAAUACAAAUAGAAAUAAUUUUGUAUUUGCAUUCUUGACUUCUCCAAACAUUGAAAUGGGAUUUUCUAGAAUGAGUAGCCCAAGGUAUUCUAUUCCCAUUCUGUACAACAACAAGGCUUUCAGUACAUCUUCCUUCAUGAAGAUGGUAGUAGUGAUAGAGUUAGCAUCAUGAUAAUCACUUUACUAGAGCGAAGCUCCUUAUAAACUUUUUAUCCUUCCCCUCUAAGGGUUUUUUCCCAACAGUCUUGGAAAUAACCCAAAUUAAACCUACUAGGGCUCAAGGAAUUCUUCAUAUCCAUCUAAAAGAUAGCUUCACUAAAUUCUUCAUCUUGAAAAGGCAUGUCUAACGUCCAAACAUGCAUCAAUCUCUUAUAGAGUCAAGGAUAAUACCUCAAGAUCUUUCCCAAAACUUAAAUUAUGGCUUUCCAAGAUCAUACCAUCCUCUUUUUUGAUAGGCAAGUAAAGAUUGUAUUAAAAAAAAGUGUCAAAAAAAGCACAUCAAAGUACACAGGACAUAUACAAUGGUGGCCAAAAGACGCUAAAAAAGGAAAACAAAAAACUACUCCCUCCCUUGAUGAGAACUCAACCAAUCAAUGAAGUCACAUAAGGACAUUGGGCCUUUAGCUAUGUACAACUUGGUUGAAGACAAUAAGUUACAAAGAAACAAGCUUUUCGGUCUAUGGUCAAAGAGCUCCUCGUUUUCAAACAAUCUUCUUUUUCUCUCCUUCUAAAUUGUUCAGAAGAGACACAAAGAAGUUGUUGCCCACACUUUUUUCGUUCCUUUCAACAAAGAACCCAUGUCACUGUAAUAGGGGCUCUCUUAUAGAGGAAGAUAACACCUAAAUACACUGAAAAGAGAGAACAAAAGCUACCACAAAACUCUCACCUUACCAUAAUGUGGCAGGAUGUGGUCAAUCGUCUCCUAAAUAUGACAAAUGAAGCAUUUGUUAGCCAACAACCACCCUCUCCUCUGAAGAUGAUCUAAAGUCAGGGCUUUACCCCACGACAUGUCCCAAGCAAAAAAGUUCGCCUUAGGUGGAACCCACAAGUUCCAAACAAUACCUUCUAAGAAAAGGGCUAAACUACCAAACUCUAGGAAAGCAUAAAGGGACUUCACAUAAAAAGAACUGGUCUUUGUCUCCAACUAGAUCACCUUAUCUUCUCCUCCCCCAUGGACCACCUUUUCUUGAAGCUUCGAGAGGAAACACUUCAUAAUCUCAAUCUCCCAAUCUUUUAAAUGCCUAGAGAAGCUAGGAGUCCAACAACCUCUAACAUUAGAUUGAUUCCACAAAACCGUCACAUACGCCUCCUUUGAACUAGCUAAGACAAAUAAAGAAGGAAAGGAACACACGAAGGCUCAUUACCACACCACUUAUCCUUCCAAAACUUUACCCUCUUCUCACUACCCACAAAAAAAGGAGACUCUACUAUUAACAAUCUCCCCACAAUUUCCUUAUGGUUUUCCAUAACCUAACCCCAUACUUGUCAUGCACUACACCACCCCCCUUCAACUUCUCCAUAUUCACCAUUUCUAAUAUGCUUCCAAAAGGCCUCCCUUUCCGUUGCAAACCACAAAAUCUACUUGCAAAGAAAAGCUUAUUGAGCGAAGAAAGACACCUAACUCAUAAGCCCCCAUUUCUUUUAUUUGAACAAGCAAUAGCCCACUUUAUUAAAUAAGGCUUUUCCUCUAAAUCCCCGCCAUCCCAUAGGAAAUCCUUCAAAUCUAUUCCAACCUCAAAUUCAUUUUCCUCGACAUCUGGAAUAACGACAUAAAGUAGAUAGGCAAACUAAAUAAAGUGCUCUGAAUUAAAGUGAGUCUUCCCCCUUUGGAAAUAUACUAUAUUUUCCAUAUUGUCUAUCUUUUUAAAAAACUCUCUUUCACCUCAUCCCAAAUUGCCAAAAAAUUAGAAGGAGCACUUAGAGGAAGACCCAAGUGGUCGAAAAAUCUCCCACUUUACAACUUAAUUCAAAAGCCAAAUCUUCUAAGUUUUCUACCCUCCCAAUUAAAAUGAACUCACUCUUGCUUAAAUUUAUUUUCAAGCCCAUAUGGCGUCAAACCACAAAAAUAACCAACUUAAAUAGGUCAUUUGAGCUUGGGUGGCCUCACAAAAUACCAAAGUAUCAUUGACAAAUAACAAAUGAGAAGUCUCCAUUCCCUCUCCAUCUCAACUAUUCACCUUGAAACCAAACAAAUAACUACCCUUUUUAGCCCUCUUAAGAAGGCAACUAAGCAUCUCCAUGUCUAGCACGAACGAAUACAACGAUAGUAGGUCCCCUUGCCUUAGGCCCCUAGAGCUUUGAAAAAAGCUAGGAGUGUCCUUCACUAGAGCCAAGAAACUUGUUGGUAUGCACCAUCGACAUCCAAUCCAAUUGAUCCACUUUUGCCCAAACCCCAUCUUGCCUAAAAGCAAGAAAUCCCAAUUAACAUGAUCAUAAGACUUCUCGAUGUCAAGCUUACAUAGCACCCCACAAUUCUUGCUUUUCAACAUAGAGUCAAUUUCCUCAUUGGCAAUAAGCACGACAUCUAGAAUUUGCCUUCUCUCCACAAAGGCAUUUUGGAAGCUAGAGACCACUUUACUCACCAUCUUUUUAAGCCUAUUAGCCAAUACUUUAGCCAAUAACUUAUAAAGACUACGCACCAAACUUAUAGGCCUAAAAUCUUUAGGCUCUUCUACCCCCUUUUCUUUGGAACCAACACUAGAAAAGUCGCAUUGAGACAUUUCACAAAUUUGCCCUACUCAUGAAAGUCAUUGAAAAAACCUAUCAACUCUUCCUUAACAAAGUCCCAACUAAACUAUCAAAAGGCCAUUAAGAAACCAUCUAGCCCUGGGGCUUUGUCCCCAUUUAGAUCUAAUAGGGCAUUAAGCACCUCUUCCUUUAAAAUCAUCUACUCCAACUUUACAACAUCUUGAACAUUUAAAGUGUCAAAAUUCAUAUCCCUGAUGCAAUGCCACUCCCUUGGCUCCAAUAAGAUAUUAUGAAAAGCCUAGACAAUCUCCUCCUUAAUCUCAAUCUCCACAAUUAAACAAACCUCAUUAAUUUUGAACUUAGCAAAAAGUUCCUUCUUUUGUUUGCAUUUGCCAUUUUGUGAAAGAAAUUAGUAUUUCUAUCACCUUCUUCUAACCAUACCUCCCUUAAUUUUUGUCUCCAGUUAAUUUCUUCCGUAAGUGCUCAUCUACAAAGCUUCACCCUUGCUACCACCUCCUCUAGAGAUAAAGCCCCCAACCUUUCUUUAGAAUCCCAAAAACCUAGGAAAUAACCAAAUUCUUUCUAACUACCACAUUAACAAAAGCCUCUUUGUUCCAACUCUUCAAUUUAGCCUUCAAAAUUUUUAAUUUCUCGACCAAGAUGAAGCUGCAAAAACCCCUAAAAUUGAACCCCACCCACCAUCUCUUCAGCAUAUCUUUGAAUUCUUCAUCCUUUAGCCACAUAUUUUCAAAUCUAAAAGGAGAAGGGUCUCUCCUCAAACCACCCCCAUCCAACAAAAUCAGUAAAUGAUCUGACAGAGGUCUAGGUAAGAUACAUUGCACUACCCCACUGAAAGGGCCUUCCCACCCCUCAAAAACCAAAAAACGAUAUAACCUCAACCAUGGUUGAUUAUUCAAGCCCCCAUUCCAAGUAAAGGACCCCCCAAGCAAAGGAAGAUCUCAAAACUAAAGGCCCUCAAUGAUUUCCAAAAAUUUUCUCAUGGCCAUAAGUGCCCCUUCUUGGGAAGAUCAUACCAUCUUCUUCAUAUUGGAUAGAUUUAACAAACUUUUUAUUUCUACUAUCAGUCACCCCCAAUAACAAGGGAAGAUAAUAACAUCACUUAAAUGCAAGGGAAGGUCAGUUUUGGCCACAAAAGCAUUAAGUGAGGUUUCUGUAAUUGUCCCAAUAUUAAGCAUGCAAAAGAUUAAAAUGUCAUUUAGCAAACUGGCAAGUGCAAAAAAAUGGCUUAUGAUAACAAACGCAUAAUAAACCAGACCUUCAUGCCUUUGUAUAGAGCCCUUGACCUACAUGAGCGGAGACAUGAAUGAUCAUAUUCAGAUUUGACAAAUUCCUGAAGGCGAUGAAUCUUAUUCCUCCUACGCCACUGUUUCCAUGACCAUGCACAAGGAUAUGCAAGCACUGAAAGUAUGCUGUGUACUGACCCUUCCCACCAAUCAUAUGCAGCAACUGAAUUAAUCUCAUCAAUGAAUCUGUUAAAAGCAUCUUCAUACCUGUAGAUCAAAAUAGUCAGAAUAUUAGAAAACAUUUUUUUGAAUCAUGAGAUGGCACAACCUGAUGCUAAUAUGUUCUUCCAAUACAAUAGGCUUCUAAGCAUACACAUCUACUUGAUCAGUAAGCUUCAUUAAGGAGCAUAUCCUGGAUCAAAAAUCCAACCUAAUUGGACAUUGCUAAUAAUUCAGAUCACUUUCUUCUGUUGAAUGAACAGAAAACACUAGUGAAAGAAAAAGGUUAAAUUAUCCAGCAAACACCAAUAUUUCCCAUGAUUGAAAUCCAGCCAUAUUGUAAACCCAUAAUAUCAUAACAUAAACCUAGCAUCCAAUUGUGCCAUCAGUCAAAGUACCCUUUAAGUUAAAUUGCUAUCUUACACAAUCUCUAUGAUUGCAUUGGGAGGAGAGUAAGGAAGAUGCCAGGGUUCUCUGAAAGUAUUGGGACCCAUAAAGUACAUCCUGUAAACAUGGCUCUGAGUUUCUUCAGCUCUGGUCCCCCGCACCUUGAAAUUCAGAAACAUAAAAUGCAGAAAAUUGUCUAGGGAUAACCACAUGUGGCUAUUGAUCAUAUUUGAAAAGGAAAAGAAGGAAUACUUGCUAUCAAUCAUGUACCUCUGACAACGAAAGAAGGUAUGGAAAAUGGUUAUGACUUUGUGUUUCAAUUGAAUUUGUACUAUGAUAAGAACAACCUGAUCCCACCAAUUUGAUUCUCAAGGUACUUAAUAAUAUAGCUAGAAGAACCAAAAUGCACGACAACAAAAGCGAGAAAGGCCAAGGCCCUCCAAAUGUAUACAUCAGCUCCUCAAGAGGUGUAUAGCAAUUUGGCAUUCUAUACUUGUCAGAUAUACAUUUAUAGGGACAGGAUUGCUGAGUAACUCCUCCUGCAGUGUGGGCACCCUCUUGUAAGAUGAGGGACAAAAGAACCAAAAAGUUAAAGAAAGAGACCAGAAAUACUACCACAUAUAUUAAAGCGCAACCGUCAGAAUUACCUCGCACAUAUAUAAAAUCUGCCCGGUUGGGAAGAAGGUCAAGAGAGCAAGGAGCGCAAAGAUGUACAUCAGAGCCAUCAACAUCUUUGUAAGUGCCAACAGGGCAUUCCUGUAAACAAACACAAUAUUCAAAAUCAUCCAGAAAUUAUUACAUCAAGUUUGCAAUGCUCAAAUAACAUAUUUUAGUAAUAAUUGAAACUUCAAAACCUAAAAGACAUUUUAGGGCAUUAACAAUUUUGAAGUGGAUUCAGCCUUUGUUCCCUCUUGGGUGUCUCAGGUCAAGAGAAGGCCCUGAAAACUGAAUGUGUGAAUUUGCAAAACUAUAGAACUUUGAAGGUGUGUAUGGCUUGCUCUCUCACUUGGAUCCCAAGAUUGGCCAACUCAGUAGUGGGACCAAUUCACUAAGCAUGAAGCCAAGAGUUUAUUAGGGAUUUCAUGCCACCCUGAAGUGUUAUUUCUCCUAGGAUCACUCAUCGGGUUUUCUGAUCUUGAUUUAUGGUUGUAACAUCUCUGUCUCCCAAUUGCAUAGUUCUGAAAGGAGCAAGGUGCAUUUCAGGCACAAGACACAAUUGAGCAAAGUGAGGCAUAACCUAGGUAUAUAUGCAACUUUGUAAAAUCCUGUAUAUUUGAACAUGCAGACAUUUGUCAUAUGCUCAUAUUACCAAAUAUGUUCAGUUUAAAAAGGAAAGGGCAAAACGAUCUUGUUUUACCAGGAACUUAAAAAGAAAAGAAUAAAUAAAUAAAUAAAUUGACAACAUGCGCCUCUUCAGCAAGUGUAUGCAACAGCUGGGGAGUCAUUGCACCUUGGGCCUAGGACCAUCUUUAACAUCCAUGCCCAUCUGUACUCUAUAUUUGCUGUGACGUGAAGGAUAGCUCAUCUUCCAUGUAGCUUUCCUCACUACUAAUUAAUUAUUUGUUUCCUAUAAAAAAAAAUAUAUCUAAAGACAAAGAAAGUACUUGAAAGGUAAUAUAUCAAUUGUAAACUAAAAGGCCAAAAGAAUAGACAAAAAUAAUUUUCUUGAUCAACUUACAAAGGUGAAUAAACACUAGAACACUUCUACAUGUACACACAUAGACAAGCAUACUUAACACAUAGAUGCAUACAUCUACACAUUUGAUGUGGAUGAGAAAAAAAAGGAUGGCUUAACAUAAAAUUUACUCCAUUCAAUCUAGUAGGCAAAGUUUAACCAUAUAUUUGUUCCAUGCAACCUCAAAUUCCUUUUACUCCUGUUCACCAGUGUUCACAAGCCCUACACCUAGUUCUAGUCCCACUAUUGAGGGUCAUAUGCCUUAAAAAGAUGCACAAUUUUCGGUCAAGGCAAAAACAACCUUAUCAAGAGAUGACAUACAUAAAUUUCUACAUUAUCAGGUAAAGUUUUGUGUUCUUUAGUUUAACCAGCAGUCAAAUGACCUCCCUAUGGCUGUUUGUUACAUUGGAUGCUCAAGCUAGGGUAAUUUGAAAGAAGUUUGAGCUGUGAUGAAAAGUCCCUCCCUAAUUCAGAUCCACCAAUCAUGAAAAGUAUUUAUAGUAUAAGCACACAAAUUAGAUGUUCAAUGUCUCAUUAAUGUACACAAAAGCAGAGAAACAGAGAUGGAAUUGGAAAAACAGUAGAACACAUAAGAAAUUACUUUUCUUAAUGACAGAAAUCUCAUUGGUCUAAUAGGCAAUAAUUGGUUAAAAGUGCUUUAGUUCAUGCUUGCAAAAUGUGACAUCUUUCUGUAGGCAAUAAUUGGUUCAUAGUGCUUUAGUUCAUGCUUCCAAAAUGUGACAUGUUUCUUAAGGAUAUAGAAAAACUACAAGGUUUUCCUAUCGCAUGGAAUUAUAUAUGAUUUUAACAAUCUAAACAAGUAUCAAAUGAAAGCAAGACAUACAUUGCAGAAUGUACCAUAAAGGCCCUUAGGGCAUUUCUUUCCUGUAACUGUGCCCUCUUCUCCAUGAAAACCACCAUUGUUUCCAGCACCUCCACUGUUAAACAUUAUAAGGCAAGUAAUAUGUUGUUAUGCAGCAGAUUUUCAUUGGUCAACAGAUCCUAAAUCUAUUGUUUUAAUAGCCUAUCAAAAUGGUUACAGAAAGUUCUUAAAGUAACAAGGUUUUAGGUAUCUUGCAAUCAAUAAGAAACUUAUUCACAAGAUUUGUACAGGUCCAUGCUCAAACACUGGAUAAACAUUUAUAUGUGUGUUGUGAUAGACAUACCUACUAUCAAUGGCACCACUUAUCAUUGCAACUGGAACAUAUUCAUCACCCACAUCUAUCUUAGACCAGUGAAAAUGAACUCUUCCACCCCCACCCCCUCCACCACCAAAAAGACCACCAUUGCCUCCAACAGCAGAUAAAGAUGAGUUUUCUGCCAGCACAAGUGUUUGAAGGAAAAGGAGAAUUGUCCCACCAGAACCACCACCAAGUCCACCAAUCAAAGUCCCAUUAAUGUUUCUUGUUGCCCCAACAUAGCUUUGACCAUUGGUUCUCAAAGCUCCAUAAAUAUCAAGCGUUAGAAGAGGCCACUGAAUGGAUCCCAUCACUAGUAAAAAUGAAACAAAGAAUAGGUGAACAUAAUCUAGGUGUAAGAUCAAAUAGCAAACUGGAUUGAGGCAUCUUUGGAAGCUAAAGUGAAUUGAUUGAUAAUUCUUUCUCAGCAUCCAGUACUUAUUCAUAGCAUUGCUAAAUGGGAAAACCAUCAAUAUCUCCAGAUUAUAUAUCAAAUGGUUUGAUUGAGAAACCAACAUUUUCUCACACUUCAUUAAAUAUAUAUAUAUAUAUAUAUAUAUAUAUGUGUGUGUGUGUGUGUGUGUGUGUGUGUGUGUGUGUGUGUGUGAGUGUGUGUUUAUCUCAAAAUUACAAAUUGUCCCCUCAAUAGGACUGUGAUUUGUGGUUAUGUUAAGAUGUGAGUAUAUUCUAAGAAAAUGUGUGCAGAAUACCCAUCCAAUGCAUCCACAUGGUUGGGUCUUUUGAAUUCUUUUCAGCAUUUUCUUUCUCCUCUUGUUUUAGCUUGUUAAUAUAACUCCAAUGAGUUAAACCACCAAUUUGACCCAAAAGCUUAAAUUGUCAUACAAUGGGCCAAUAAUGUAUGUCAAAGUCAACCUGGGUUAAAGCAUUGAAAUUGUUUACUUAUCUGAAAAAUGGAAUAAAAAGGAAUAGUAAUCGGAUGAAAUGCAGGAUACUGAAUGGAAGCCAUAACUUUAGCUGUGUGACAUAAGUUUGUAUCUAGACCGAAUAACCAUAACUGUGUGAAUUAAGCUUACAAUUCAAAACCAAAUUUGGUGCAAGAAGUUAAAAUUAAGAUGGCAAGCUAAUGGGGAAUAUAGAAAUGAAGGAAAAACAGGAAAUGUUAACCUACAAAGAUAGAAAUGAAGGAAAAAAUGGGAAAUGUCAACUAAGCAAUAUUCACGAUAGGAUGGUUAUUUCUUUCAAGUGUUUUGGGAACUCUACUAGAGGCAAGACUCUUUGAAAGAUUGUUUAUCUUACUUUGUUGUGGAUUGUAUGAAAAGAGAGGAAUGCUAGGAUUUUCGAGGAUACUUGGAAGACAUCUGAGAUGAUGUAAGACUUGCUUCAUUUCUAUGUUUCUUUUUGGGCCUACUGUAUUGACAUUUUUAAACCCUUUCCUUUGAGUGUAAUUUAGCUUAGUUGUCUUUCGAUAUGUAUACCCUAGGGUUGGGCCUAUUAGGUGACUUCCUAGAUGAACUUUAAGAGAUGUUAUACUUGUAUAGGCUUUUCGCUCCUUUUGUAUAGUCCUCCUUCUAUAGUGGAGGUUUCUCUAGGUCUUUUUAUCAGGUUUGUAUAUCAUGAGGAGGAUUUCUCAUCCUUCUCAUAUUUUUAUUCACUUUAAUUAAUACAUAUUUUGUUUCUAAUAAAUAAUAAUAAUAACACCUAAAAAUAAUAAUUACAAUAAUAACACCAAAAAAAAUCGCAUACUUACCAAGAGGAACAACUCAAAGAACUAACAUUAUAAUAACUCCAGCACCCAUUAGUUUUUGUUACAUAAAUUAAAAACAUAAAUAUGAUAAACAGAGAAACUUAUUUCUGAAAUUUGUACCAUAUGUUGAAAUUAUUACCUAUCAUUCCCCCUCCAGCCACAUGUCCAUAAGAUUCGUUGGGACCCUCAGUUCCACUUCCCAAUUCACAGGGAAGCUCAGCACUACCAUAUUUGUCACCACCUUCACUCACCCUCCCAUGAAAAAGUCCUGAGCCGCCUCUUCCGCCAUGGCCAGCACCACCACCAGCUCCAUUUGAAUAGUUACCCUUACCGAUGCCUGUUCUGCAACCUAAAAAAGAUUCCUUGCUUACUCAGAAAGUUUUAAACAUACAGCAAUUUGUUUAUUCAGCUUCUUUAAGAUGGGAUCAAUUAGUCAUUGAGGUUAAUUGCAGAAAGAAACAAAAGCAAAAGAAGGAAAGAACAAUAAAAGAAUUACAAUAAAACUAACUCAUGGGAUACUAUUACCUAAUUCUGAUGCAGAAAUCAUGCCAUCAGUAUCAAUGAUGAUAGUUCUUGCCCUGUGGAUGUGAAUGAUGCUUCCCUCGAUGAGGCCAUUAACAAGAAGGUCCUCAACACGACAAAUCUUCCAAAGGUUAAAACAAAAAAUGAAUAAGUUUAAUUGGCCAAUCACAUCAACCUAAUUAGCAAAUUGAGAUAUGUCUGAUUAGCAGUGAGCAUCAUUUGAACCCACCAAUUGAAGCCUAAACAGAGGGGGAUACAAUUUUCUGGUUAUUUGUCUCAUUGAAAAUUAUUUAAAGAUAACAAUGUACUUCUUCUCUUUGUCAAUGUUUUUUUGAUAGGCAAAUAAGCAGAAUACAUUAAAGGCACUUGCAAAAAGGCGCAACAAAGUACACACAGGAUAUACAGAUAUGGCCAAGAGGCAAGCAAGAAAAGAAAAAAGAGCAACUAAAACCCACCUUCCCACCAACACCCAGCUCCCAAGGGGGCUGGAAAGCCCCUAGCAGAAACCUAAAAGGAGAAACAAAAGAACCCCUACCCAUAACAAAAAAACCCCUAGCAGAAUAAAAUAAACACCUACGAUCAGUUGAAACCCCUACCGUCAAGUCCCCACACCCCUCUCCUUUCCUCUUACCAUGGACAGAGCACUAUUGUAAUUGAUUGAGUACUUGAGCCCUUAGAUUUCCUUCUCAAGUUGAGAAGAUGACAUGGAUUUUCUCCUUCCCCCUAAUACCUUAACCCCACAACCUUUCUUUGAUUCCAAUUUUCUAAGAAGAGAACUAAUUUCCUUUUCAAAACCCAAAACUAGCAUCCCCAAACAAUUAGAGAACUCAACAAAACCAUUGGGAAGACACACAAAAUCCUCCCCUUUUGCCACGCUGCCCAAACCCACAUCCCUAGGAGGGUCCACCUCCUCAUUCCUGGCCUCUAAUUCUUUCUUGACUAAAAUAAAUUUCUUCCUUGAUUUCAAUCUAUACAUCUCAUAUAUUUAUACAAAUAGUCUUAGCACAAAAAAUAGAAACGUUCCUAACCUAAUUCUAUCAAAUCCCCUUGAUUAUGGGAUUGUCCUAAUCAUCUCUUUAAUUACAAAAAAAAACAACUAUAACAUUUCCCAAUUACAUUCUUCCACACUCCUCCUCAAGCUAGUGAAUAGAUCUUUUCCAUUCCCAUCUUGGAUACACUUGCUUGAAACAUUGUACUGCUUAAACCUUUGAUAAGUAUAUCUAUAAGUUGGCAGUUGGUAAAUACAUAAGGAAUUCAGAUCAACUCACUAUCUAGUUCCUCCUUAAUAAAAUGUUUGUCUAUCUCUAUGUGCUUCAAUCGAUCAUGUUACACUAGAUUAUGUGUGUUGAAUACAAUGUAUUUAUAGUGUACAAUCUUUUUUUCCUUUCUUAAUAUAGGUCACAUAUAUGGUAGUUAGGUCAACCUAGCCUCGUAUAUAUAUUUCUCUAUUAUAAGAAGUCAAUAAUAUGAAUGAGAAGUAAGGUUUUUUUCUCUCUCUCUUUCAACAUGGUAUCAGAGUCAAGGGAGAAAACUUUAUUCUUUCUGGUUUACGCGUGUAAUUAAUUCUGGGAAUCCGUCCAGUGACCGUGUUUCAUUCCAGUCACCUUUUCCAUCUCCCAAAGCUUUCCGGUCAGCCAUAUCGUGGUCAGAAAACCCUCAUCACCGUCAACAUUUUUCGGGCGAUAUUUUCCGACACCGACCACAUCAUCAGGAGCGUAAAGAGGAGAUAUGCAACUUUUCUCAAAGCACCGGAGCCAAAAAUCCAUCCACGCACCUCCCACAAACGUUUUUCUCCGACGACCUGAAUCCCACGCGCCGGCGCGUGAGGGCGUGUGACCCACUUUCUGGUGCCAAGCUUCUACCAGUAGAAGCUCGUUCGGCGCCGUCUUGCACUUCUAAGCCUCUAUCAGUCCUCUUCGAACCCUGCUUCUCCAUUUUUUUGGCAUUUCAGCCUCCGCGGGUCUUCUUUCAGCCUCCUCUGGCCUCCGACGGCAGCUCCCUUCCUUGGCCGAGACCUGUGUGUGACUUGGGAAGGCCUCUUCUUCAUCUCCAGUCACUUUUCUCCUUUGUUUGGGUCCCGACAUACUAGGUUCUUCUUCCACAGCUGUGAUCCGACCUCCCUUUAGAGCUCUCUUAGAUACAAACGUGAUUCAAUCUCAGGUAAAGUGGGCAUGGCGACUAAAAAUCCUAUUUUUACAACCAUCAUCUCUAGAUCUCCUACUAUCACAUCGGAAAAAUUGAUUGGUAGUGAGAAUUAUCUCUCCUGGUCAGCGUCCGUGGAACUCUGGUUUAUGGGACAAGGUUAUGAGGAUCAUCUUGUCACACCUGAGGAUGCUAUACCUGAUGUUAACAAAGUGCAAUGGAAGAAGAUCAAUGCACAAUUAUGCAGCGUAUUAUGGCAAUCUGUUGAUUCCAAAAUUUUACAUCAUCUUCGUGCCUACAAAACUUGCUUUAAAUUUUGGACUCACACUAAAGGAUUAUACACAAAUGAUAUUCAACAAUUUUAUAAGGUGGUUUCUGAUAUUGUUCAUGUGAGACAGCAGGACAUGGAUCUGUCUACUUAUAUUGGCCGGAUUACGUCUCUUAAGAAGGAGUUCUUAUUGAUGCCCUUCACUAAUGGUGCUGAAGCUCAAAAAAUACAGACUGACAAGUUCUUUAUGGUGUUAACCCUCAUUGGCCUCCGUCCAGAUCUUAAGUCUGUUCGAGAUCAUAUUCUUGCUAGUCCAUCAGUACCAUCAUUGGAUGAUGUGUUUGCUCGUCUCUUACGCCUCUCCUCUACUCAGACCUUGUCGACUGAUGGUCCUUCAGAUUCAUCUGUGUUAGCCUCUCAAACUAACUCUUGAGGAGGACGUAGUGGCAAUCGGGGUCGAGGACAACGUCCUCAGUGCACCUAUUGUAAUAAGUUUGGUCAUACUCAAGAUCGUUGCUAUCAAUUACAUGGACAGCCUCCUCGCACUGCCCACAUUGUUCAGUCAUCUAAACCUCUGCUAUCUCGACCUGACUCCGCUGCAAGCUCCACAUCUCAAAGUAUCACCCUUACUAGUAGUGAUUAUGAUGCCUAUCUCCGAUAUCAGGCAGCCACAUCAGCUUCUGUUACUUCUGUUGCCCAGACCGGUAAUGUCUCUGUCUACUUUACUCAGUUUCCUUCUUUUNNNNNNNNNNNNNNNNNNNNNNNNNNNNNNNNNNNNNNNNNNNNNNNNNNNNNNNNNNNNNNNNNNNNNNNNNNNNNNNNNNNNNNNNNNNNNNNNNNNNAUUUGUUAGCCACCAACCACCCUCUCCUGUGAAGACGAUCUCAAGUCCGGGCCCUACCCCGCGACAAGUCUCAAGCAAAAAAGUUCGCCUUAGGUGGAACCCACAAGUUCCAAACAAUACCUUCUAAGAAAAGGGCUAAACUACCAAACUCUAGGAAAGCAUAAAGGGACUUCACAUAAAAAGAACUGGUCUUUGUCUCCAACUAGAUCACCUUAUCUUCUCCUCCCCCAUGGACCACCUUUUCUUGAAGCUUCGAGAGGAAACACUUCAUAAUCUCAAUCUCCCAAUCUUUUAAAUGCCUAGAGAAGCUAGGAGUCCAACAACCUCUAACAUUAGAUUGAUUCCACAAAACCGUCACAUACGCCUCCUUUGAACUAGCUAAGACAAAUAAAGAAGGAAAGGAACACACGAAGGCUCAUUACCACACCACUUAUCCUUCCAAAACUUUACCCUCUUCUCACUACCCACAAAAAAAGGAGACUCUACUAUUAACAAUCUCCCCACAAUUUCCUUAUGGUUUUCCAUAACCUAACCCCAUACUUGUCAUGCACUACACCACCCCCCUUCAACUUCUCCAUAUUCACCAUUUCUAAUAUGCUUCCAAAAGGCCUCCAUAUGAAUCAAUUGACCCCUUUAUAACUCUGGAAGCAUCUCAAGUGGGGGACACCAUUGAAGGUGUUAGUACCCCUACCCCAACCAUUGCAAGUCAAUGUAAGGUUUUCACACCCCACCAGGACAUAUGAGCAGUGGUGGGNNNNNNNNNNNNNNNNNNNNNNNNNNNNNNNNNNNNNNNNNNNNNNNNNNNNNNNNNNNNNNNNNNNNNNNNNNNNNNNNNNNNNNNNNNNNNNNNNNNNUCACCCUUACUAGUAGUGAGUUAUGAUGCCUAUCUCCGAUAUCAGGCAGCCACAUCAGCUUCUGUUACUUCUGUUGCCCAGACCGGUAAUGUCUCUGUCUACUUUACUCAGUUUCCUUCUUUUGGCCCGUGGAUUCUAGAUUCUGGAGCAUCUGAUCAUAUCUCUGGUAAUAAACACCUUUUCUCCUCUAUUAUUACUACCUCUGCCUUACCUACUGUUACUUUAGCCAAUGGUUCCCAAACUAUGGCUAAAGGUAUUGGUUUGACUCAUCCUCUCCCUUCCCUAUCUCUCCAUUCUGUCCUUUAUGCCCCUGAGUGUCCUUUUAAUCUUAUUUCCAUCAACAAAAUAACUCGCACUCUUAACUGUUCUAUCACUUUUUCUGAUAAAUCUGUGAUCUUGUAGGAUCGGAGUAUGGGGAAGACGAUUGGCAUAAGGUGUGAGUCUCAAGGCCUCUAUCACCUCACAUCACCUUCAUCUCCUGCAGCUUGCAUUUCCACCGAUUCUCCUCUUCUCAUUCACAGUCGUCUGGGUCAUCCUAGUCUCUCCAAGUUCCAGAAGAUGGUCCCUCGUUUUUCCACUUUGUCGUCGCUUGCGUGUGAGUCGUGUCAGCUUGGGAAACAUACUCAUGUCUUGUUCCCAAAGCGUUUGAAUAAUCGGGCAAAGUCUCUUUUUGAACUUGUCCACACUGAUGUUUGGGGUUUGUGUCGAACCGCGUCUAUUUUAGGAUUUCAGUAUUUUGUCACUUUCAUUGAUGACUAUUCAAGAUGUACUUGGUUAUUUUUUAUGAAAAAUCAAGCUGAGUUAUUCUCUAUUUUCCAGAAAUUUUAUACUGAAAUCCAAACACAAUUCAAUGUUUCUAUUCAAGUGUUACGCAAUGACAAUGCUCGGGAAUAUUUUUCUACACCCUUUACUUCUUUUAUGUCCCAACAUGGGAUCCUCCAUUAGUCAUCUUGUGCUCAUACUCCUCAACAAAAUGGGGUUGCUGAACGUAAAAAUCGACAUCUUGUUGAGACAACUCGUACCCUCCUUCUCCAUAGUCAUGUUCCUUUCAUUUUUGGGGGGAUGCUGUUCUUACAGUCUGUUACUUGAUUAAUCGUAUGCCCUGAUCUAUAUUACAUGACCAAAUCCCUCAUUCCCUUCUUUUUCCUACCCAACCUUUUCAUUUCCUUCCUCCUCAUGUCUUUGGUUGUACUUCUUGGGAUACUCUCGACUUCAGAAGGGCUAUUGUUGUUAUUCCCCUGACACUCAUCGUAUUUUCUCUCCGCUACUGUCACCUUCUUUGAGGACUCUCCAUUCUUCUCAUCCUCUAAAUCUCUUCCCAUUUCUGAAGUAUUGUCACUUCCCUAUAUAUCUCCCCCUUCAAAUGCACUCUCUCGUCCUCUUUAGGUUUAUCAUCGUCGACAUCGUGCUGUUGCUCCUCCUCUCUCUUCAGCUGAGGUACCUGAUGACUCACCUCUUAUCCCACCGAUUUCUCCUACCCCGGUCCUAUCAUCUACUGACCAUUUGCCUAUUGCUCUUCGGAAAGGUAAUCGAUCUACUUGUAAUCCUCAUCCUAUUUAUAAUUUUUUGAGCUACCAUCGAUUAUCUUCAUCCUAUUCUGCCUUUGUAAACUUUAUCCUCUGGUUCUCUUCCUAAGAGCACUAGUGAGGCACUUUCUCAUCCUGAGUGGCGAUAGACAAUGGUUGAUGAAAUGGCUGCUCUGCACUCCAAUGGCACAUGGGAUCUUGUUUCUUUACCUCUUGGUAAAUCUACAGUUGGAUGUCAUUGGGUCUACACUGUUAAAGUUGGUCCUGAUGGUCAGGUUAAUCGCCUUAAGGCCCGCUUGGUUGCUAAAGGUUAUACUUAGAUUUGUGGUUGUGACUAUGGUGACACCUUCUCUCCUAUUGCCAAGAUUGCUUUUGUUCGCUUAUUUCUCUCCAUGGCAGCUAUGUGUCAUUGGUCUCUUUAUCAGUUGGAUAUUAAGAAUGCUUUCCUUCAUGGUGAACUUCUCGAGGAAGUGUAUAUGGAGCAACCACCUGGUUUUGUUGCUCAGGGGGAGUCUGGUUUAGUGUGCAAGUUACGCCGCUCUCUAUAUGGCUUGAAACAGUCUCCUCGGGCAUGGUUUGGGCGUUUUAGUUCAGUUGUUCAAGAGUUUGGAAUGCUUCAGAGUGAAGCAGAUCAUUCAGUUUUCUAUCAUCAUAACUCUUCGAGCCAGUGCAUCUAUUUGGUAGUUUAUGUGGAUGACAUUGUCAUUACAAGCAGUGAUCAGGAGGGUAUCCAAAGACUAAAGCAACACCUUUUCAACCACUUUCAAACCAAAGACUUGGGCAAACUCAAGUACUUUCUAGGACUUGAAAUAGCUUAAUCCAGUUCAGGUGUAGUUAUGUCACAAAUGAAGUAUGCAUUAGACAUCUUGGAAGAAACAAAUAUGUUAGAAUGUAAACCUGUUGACACUCCUAUGGAUCCAAAUGUCAAACUUGUACCAGGACAGGGGGAGCCUCUAAGAGAUUCUGGGAGAUAUCGACUACUUGUAGGCAAACUGAAUUACCUCACCAUCACUUGGCCAGACAUCUCUUUUCCUGUGAGUGUGGUUAGUCAAUUUCUACGGUCACCAUGUGACAACCAUUGGGAUGCUGUGAUCCGCAUUCUUCGAUAUAUUAAAGGAACAUCAGGUCAAGGUAUGUUGUAUGAAGACAGGGGUCAUACCCAAAUUGUUGGUUACACAAAUGCAGAUUGGGCUGGUUCACCCUCAGAUAGGCGUUCCACCUCAAGGUAUUGUGUUUUUAUUGGAGGUAACUUAAUAUCCUGGAAGAGUAAGAAACAAGAUGUAGUGGCCAGAUCAAGCACCGAAGCUGAGUAUCGAACUAUGGCUUUGGCAACAUGUGAACUCAUAUGGUUGAGACAACUCCUUCAGGAAUUGAGAUUUGGAAAAAAUGAACAGAUAAAGCUAGUUUGUGACAAUCAGGCCGCAUUACAUAUUGCAUCCAAUCCAGUCUUUCAUGAAAGGACCAAGCAUAUUGAAGUUGACUGUCACUUCAUUAGAGAGAAGAUCGCAUCAGGGUGUGUUGCUACAAGUUUUGUUAAUUCAAAUGAUCAACUAGCAGACAUCUUCACUAAAUCUCUCAGAGGUCCUAGGAUUAAAUACAUUUGUAACAAGCUUGGUGCAUAUGACAUAUAUGCUCCAGCUUGAGGGGGAGUGUUGAAUAUAAUGUAUUUAUAGUGUACAAUCUUUCUUUCCUUUCUUAAUAUAGGUCACAUAUAUGGUAGUUAGUUCAACCUAGCCUUAUAUAUAUAUUUCUCUAUUGUAAGAAGUUAAUCAUAUGAAUGAGAAUUAAGGUUUUUUCUCUCUCUCUUUCAACAAAUAGGAUCAAUGAAAAAGGGCUCGUUGAAAUAGAAGUGUCGAUCCUUGUCUUUCUCAAUGGAAUUCUCCCCCUAAAUAUAAGGAGUGGGAAAAUAAGAAUCAAUUUUGUUGAAAGUAACAGUUGAGACAAAAAAAAAUUUUGGAUGAUGGAUGGUAACACUUAUAUCCCUUUUAAGUUGACAAAUAUACCACAAAAAUACAUUUGACUACUCUUAAGUCCAAUUUUCCAUUGUUUAGACUAUGAACAUGCAUAAAGGACACACAAAUAUUUUAGGAAUGAGAUGGUUUGUGGUUUUUAUAUUAAGAUAAAAUGAUAAGAGUAUUUCCAUAGGACUUUUGAAACCUAAGACUCUGAAGAAUAAUUAGUUUGUGAGAUGUGUGGCAGUUAGGACGACCUCCCCUCAAUAAGAUUUAGGCACAUGUUUUUGGAACAAAAAAAUUCGUGUUCUAUCAAGGAAGUAACCAUUUUUCCUCUCAGCAACUCCAUUUUGUUGUAAGGUGUUCACACACGAUGACUCAUGAAUUAUACCUUCAUGAUGAAAGUAUGAAAUUAGAACUUGAUUGAAAUAAUCUUUGGCGUUGUUAGACCGAAACCUUUUGAUAGUGACACCAAACCAAUUUUUUAUCAUCUUAUGGAAACUUGGGAGAACAAAACUCACAUCAGAUUGGUGUUUAAGUGAAAAGAUCCAAGAGACCCUAGUACAAUCAUCAAUGAAAAACACAAACCAGCAUGCCCCAGAUAUAUUUGGGAUAGGCGAAGGACCCCAAAUAUUAUUUUUUUUAUUGGAAACGACACAUAGAUAUAUUGAUAGAAAAAGAAGUACAAAAGAAGGAUGAGAAAUCCUCCCACCAAAGAAAACUAAACUACAAGAAAGUACACAGUAAAACAAGCGAACUCUCUAGAUUGGACCAUUCCUUAUGGAGUACACACCGCUAACCAGUCAAGUUGUAACACAUUAAGGGAAGUCCCCUUAAAAACCUUGGAACAGAAAGCCCAAAGAGAAGCAAGGAAAACAAUAGAGUCCCAAAGAUACUCUAAAUUUCUUGCUUUAUCCUAAAAAAUCCUCGCAAUUCUUUCCCACCACACAACCCAAAUUAAAGUGAUGCUCGCAGCUUCCACAAUACUAUCCCCCUCUUAAAUGAACCAAAACCAUUAAAUUUGAUGGACAUCAUGUCAAAGAUGCUCCUCGGGGGUACCCAAUCAUCUUGGCUAACUAAAAUAAUUUGUGCCACAACCCAAUAGUCAAGGAGCAACAUAGGAAAAGGUGAUCUGUUGAUUCCCCAUGUUUCAUGCACAGAAUACAAAUAUCAGGACUAAGGGCUUUGUAGGGUCUUUUUAAUUGUAGCAUGUCAUUAGUAUUUACCUUCUUGUGUGCCACUAACCAGACAAAGGACUUCACUUUGAAAGGGACUUGAGAUUUCCAAACGAACUUAGAAGGAAAAACCUGAGGAGAGCCAGAAAAUUGGGAUAAGGUUAGAAAGAAAGAUUUGACUGAAAAAAGCCUUGAAGAAGAUAAAGGCCAAAAUCUAGCAUCUGAAACCGAAGGAGAAAGAUGCAAACCAUCAAGUGACCGCAUGAGGCAUUCUAAGUCCUCUAUCUCAGAGUCUGAAAGGUUACGACAGAAAUUAAAGUUCCAAGAGAAAGGACAAGUAGAACCGAGAACUGAAGAAAUAGGAAUAUUUUUAUCCAAGACUACUCUAAAUAGUCUUGGAUAUUGGGUUCCCAAAGGUUGGUGAAGGACCCUAAAUAUCACUAUGAAUUAAAUAGAAAGGCUUUAAACUUCUUUUAUUACUGUCUGAGAAGGUUGAAUGCUUGUGUUUAGCUAGUUCGUACACUUCACAGUGAAAGCUCUCAACAUCUAAUUUCCUAAAUAGAGAAGGAAACAAGAUUUUAAGAAUUCUAAAUGACGGAUGUCCAAGCUCAUGAUGAUGAAGCUAGAUUUUUUCUUUAUUAAAACAGAGGUGCUAAGAGAGAAGAGAUAUGGAUGAUUCGCUUGGUGUCUCAAGGGAAUAUAGCCCGUUCCAUUCCGUAGCAAGUCUAAUCAUCUUCCCUAAAUUCUGGUCUUGAAAUACACAAUAUGGUAAAAAAUCAAAUUACAACCCAACUCUUUUGUAAGCUUUUGUAUAGAGACAAGAUUAGUAGACAACUUUAGAACAUGAAGCACAUUUCUCAGAGUGAGGGUAGGACUAAUUUAGAUAUCUCCUACACUUGCAAUGGUGGUUAACGAACCAUCAGCUAUGGUUAUUUUCCUAUUGCUUGAACAAGGAUUAUAGUUGUGAAAUUGGUGUGAUGAAUGAGUCAUGUGAUCCGUGGCACUUGAAUCUAUAACUCAUGAAUUGACAAAGGUUUCAUUCGAGGCUUUUAAUCCAAUGGAAAUAGGAGACUUACUUAAAAGUGUCAAUGAGGAAGUACUUGAAAGUUUCUCAAGAGUUCUCAACAAAGUUCUCAAAUUUUCAAUUUCCUUCUAAUUGAAUUCAGCUUGUUUCAAGGAUCUUUCUUCACUAGUUGAAUCGAAGACAAGUGUGUUUGUCCAAUAUCCUUCGGCUACCCUCCAUUGUAACUGGUCGUCAUUUUUCCAAAUUGAGCGGUUUCUUUUUUUCUUUUAGGGAAAAAUUAUAAGACAAAGACUUAAAAAACUCAACUUAAAUAGUCAAGCCUUAAAUACCCACGGGCUAAAAAGUGAAGUCGGGGAGAAACCAAGUCGACAGUCUAAGGUGGCAUCAACCGAUGGUAGCAUCGAGAUCUUAGGGCAACUGCAACGGCAAUAUGAGGCAAAUCCAAGGGGACAACAGUGGCCCAGUGAGAUGAAGACAAUAACUGUGCUGUUGAAGGAGAGAGACGGUUGACUGUGUGUUUACAAUCGACCCACUUCCUGUUGGUGGCAUAGCAGCAGCGCAAAGUGGAGACAACUAUGGCACGAGGAGAAGAUGACAACAAAACGAGGUGAAGACAAAGACAACGACGAGGGGUGACGGCAAGGGCUCGAUCCUUGUUUGCAGCAGUGGUCGACGGUGUGGAGUAGCUUAGGUUUCCAGCUGCUUUCUCGAUAAGUUUCACGAUCAGUUUUUUUUUUUCUGCGUCAGUGAACGGCUCUAAAAAUCGAUAAUGAAAUAAAAACUUUUAAGGUCGACAAUGAAGGUCAACAUUGAACUUGGCAAUGAAGACCGAAGAAAAUUCUUCUGCCAGAUUCACUAGCCUACGGCUUUGAUACCAUGUGAAAGAAGAAGAAUUGGAAGGUAAAUAAAAUAAUUUUUUUCCUUGAUUUCAAUUUGUGCAUCCCAUAUAUUUAUACAAAUAUUCUUAGCACAAAAAAUAGAAACUUUCCUAACAUAAUUCUAUCAAAUCCCCUUGAUUAUGGGGUUUAUUCUAACUCUCUCCUUAAUUACAAAAAUACAGCUAUAACAUUUCCUAAUCAUAUUCUUCCACAUUAUUCAACAACACAUGAAGCAUUGCUGUAUUCUGGCCAUUCUCAAUGGCACAAAAUUAUAGAGCAUAUCUUGCAACAGAAAAGGAUGAAUGGUUUCAAUAAGGUAGAAAUUUUACUCUACUUACUCCCCUCAGCACUGUAGCUCCUCUACUGGCCAAGGAAUUUCAAUUGCUUUAAUUUUUUUUUUGAUAAGUAAACGAUUAUAUUAACGAAGGCAAAAAGCCAAAGAGCAUACAGGAAGUAUACAAUUGCUUUAAUUUUAAAAAUCUAUUAUUUGUUUUAUGUAUUGAAUGUUAUUAUUACAAUGAUUUAUUUUCCAUCUGUAAGUUAGUUGCAUCACUGAAAACAUCCCAGCAUCCCUAUAUGAAGUGUAGAAUAAAUUGCCCAAAUGAAAAGCAGAUAUUUCCCAAAAUAUAUUAGUAUAAUAAGCAAUUCAAAGAUAAAGCUGUCUUACUUGAAGUGAAAAGGAUAGUGUAUUAUUAACAUGGCAAUCAUCUGGUGGGGUAAUCAAAUCCAUUGGGCAUGUCUGACUCUCACAACGGGAUUUUGUUACCCUACAGAUGGAGAGACAAAGGAGAGAGAAUUACAGAAAUGAUUUAAUUGUGGAUGAUUGUGUACUCUUAGCAGUUCCAAGAAAAUGAAGCAGGAUUUCACACUCACAUGCUUGUAUCAUCAUCCAAUGGAGCCUGAAGUAAGGAACCAGGCCCAACCUGACAAGUGCAAGCAGUAGAGGAAAAGAAAUUUACAGAUAGAAAAAUUGAAAGGACAUUACAAAUGAUGUAAGAGACAGUACUGAAACAAGAAACUAAAAUCAUCUGUGAUCAAAACAAACAGAAACAAGUUGAAGAAAGAAGGCAUCGUAACAAGAAAUACAGUUCCACAAAUGCAAAGGUUGUAGUCCUGGCACACAACUCGUUUGUAUGGAACCACAAGAAAUGCAGAUGCAUGCUAAAAAGAUUCAUAUUAUUAAACAAAUACCUUAUCAUAACAUUAAAAUCCAACUGCAAAGUACAAAAGGAAGUGCAGGAGGUGAAGACAAGAGGGUUGCCUUCAUGCAUCAUUAAGAUAGAGAAGAAAAAUAAAAUAAAAUAAAAAGGACCAAAAAGAAAUUAGUGGCAAUGUAAAAUAUCAAAAUACAAGGUGCACAAAGCCAAUACUUCUUAACGAUCCAAACUGAAGGCCCCAAUAAAAGUGAGGCAACUGUCCAAGUAAAAGACAUACUCAUGCAACAUAAUAGAAUAGAACCAGAAAAAACAAACUUGAAACAUAAAGAAUGAUCUGAAGAUGAAGAUGUAACAGAGCAACCAUUUGUAAUGAUCAAAGAAGAAAAAACCAACAAAAAGAUAUACUGUUGUAAUUGUUGAAAUAACACCACAAAAAGGAAAAUAAGAAGAAAAUGUUGAUGAUGUCGAUGACAAGAAUGAUGUCCAUACUUGGAUAAGGCAGUAACCUUGCAAAGUAGAUUAUCAAGACUUUGAAGGAUCAUUUUCCCCUUCUUGUUCCUUAAGGUGAAAGCAGAAGGGAAAGAGUACAAUCUAUUAAAUACUUCAAUUUACUUAUAGCUUUGCAUGUCAUUUUUCACUUACUUCCACAGACAAUUUGCAUUUAUGCACCUUCAUAUUUGCAGAAGGAUUAAAGAAUUUCAGAUUGAAAUUCAGAUUAUUAGCACUUUGGAGGAGUCAAGCAGUUUUUUCCUUCUAGUUCUUUAUAUUGAAAGCAAGGAGAAACACAUUCCAUUAUGAACACCAGUUCAUCCAUAAAUCAAUUAUCCAUACUUCUCAUGGACAAUUGGAAAAAGAAUACUUAUUUCACAUAUCUUUGCAUCAUGCAUCCAUGGUAAUAUUAUGGUAGGCUGCUGUUGAUCCAAGAUUCAAACAAUCUAUUGGCAAUACUGGUCUAUUGAGGAGGAAACUUUCUGAACAUGAGGAAAAAAGCAGCCUCUGGGCAAGCCCAUCAUGUACAGAUAUGAAAGCUGAUUCCAGAGGUGCUUUGGAUUUUCUUUUUUCUGGUUCAUUGGCAAAGGAUUCCUAAUCCUUCCUUGUUAUGCUAACUAUCCCUUUCAUGUUCACAAACAUAUUCCAUCUCCAGUUCUUGAAAGUUAGUAAUAAUAAUAAUUGAUUCCAGAUGUGAAUCCAUUCAUAAAGCUCAUAACUGAUUCUAGAUAUGAAUCUAUUCAUAAAGCUCAUAAUUAAAAUGUACAAAGAAAACAUAAAUCUGUCUUACAGUUAUAUUAUAAAACAGUGACAAGGAAAGUCGCUGAGCUUUGAUUGCAUCACCAUGACCAGUCAACUUCAGAAGUCCCUGACCAUAUACAGCCAAGUUCGUAUUUGAACUAAUUACAGAAUUUUCCUGCCAAAAACAAGGAUUUAUAAUCCCGGUUUCAGAUAUAAAAUUCACCAAGAACAAAGUAUGUCCACAACAGCUAAAUAUGGAUAAGGUCAAAAUAACCAUACCGUUAGAACAAUAAGAUUCCUAACUUCAAGGACAGAAGUGGUAACAACAGUAUUUCCACCACCAUCAAUUUUGAUUUUAGAGUUCCACAUGAGUAACAUCUUCACAGCCACUCUAAAUGCACCAAAAACCUUCACUCAUUUAUAAAAAAAAAAAAAAAAAAAUCACACAAACAAGAAAGACAAUUUAGACCAUGAAUAGAGCAUUGGCAUAUAUUCUACUUUCUGAGGGUGUUACUGCAUAAUUUGCUAGUACUUAUAGAUCUUAAAACAUGAAAUAUAACAUGUACUUCAUGGAGAGAGAACACAAAAUAUUCAGACAAGAUAGGCUGCAAUAGAUUGAAAAUUCUAAGGUGCAUUGUUUAGAGUUCUCAAAAGAUGUAGAAGAAGAAAGAAAGGAAGACAAAAAAAUAUAAUAAUAUUGGAAGCCCUCCUCAACAUGGUCAGUCAACUUGGAGAGAAAAUGUCACUUAUACCCAGCAUGGUCAUGAUACCUGAUCGAUGAAAUGAAGACAACUUUACUGAGGACAUCUGCCAAGAACAGUUUGUUUGUGAUGUAUAGAACAUGAAGCAUUUUUAGAAAAUAUAUGUACCUUAAUGACAGAAUCACUCAUCAAAAGUUCUUCUGCAACAAGCUCAAAUUCUGAGAUUGGAUACUCUGACAGUCCAAAGAUGAUGCUGCCCCCACAGAGUAGUUUAAUUUGACCUCUCACCUUUACAACCAAAAAAUCAAUGGAACAUUAAAAACUAUCCUUAAGAGGGAUUAAAAUCAGAAUAAAUACAAAAAGGUAAAUUGCCUCUAAUAGUUGCUAUUACUUUAUCAUUUUCUACAAAUAAAAAAUGAAUCAAGACGCACAGAUAGCAUCUUGAACAGUUGGAAAACAACUUGAAAGAACAGAGAAAAUAGAAAAUUACAAUCAACUCUAACAUACCAUACUUGGCUAGCUCCUUCCCUUGGCUGAACAACCUACAGCAUGACUUGGCUAAAUGACCUACAAUAUGACCUGCAAAGGGCCCUGCUGCCUAGCUACUUUCUUGGCUAAUGACCUACAGCAUGACUUUGCUAAGCACUAAAUCCAAGAGAAAGAGCCAUCUAAAUGACUAGCAACAUCUACAAUUUGGCAAAGCCACAUGUCAUACUUCCACAGACCACUUUCCUCAGACACCCACAAAAUGAUAAUUGUAGAAUCUCCCUCCACCCAGAGAUUGGAGUCUCAAAGCCGUUGCCCAUACUUUCUGAAAGAGCUAAAAUCUCUACCUUGUAUUUCUUUACCCAAGGAUCAUCCAUCAAAGUUUAACUAUUCAGAACUAUGGGGAACAGGUCCUACUUUAAAUAUAUAUAUCCUCAACAAACCUCCUUCACCUAUUAAAAGGAAGGUUCAAUCUAGCAUAAUAAAAAUCAGAGUGUCCAUAAAAGCUUCAAUGAUGGAACCCCAUAGACAAGAAAAGAAAUCAAACAAGUCCUCAACAGGCACCUUAGACCUAUACACACACACACACACAUAUAAGCCUAGAGCUUUUCUCCUUCAGAUCAUCCAGAUCAAAGUGAAACUUUACAACAGAACCCUACCUCUAGAAACCCCUACGAUGCCUAAAAGAGACUAUCAGCAUGAAUGUCAACUUCUAGGGGAACCCAUCCUAGAAAAUCUGAGCAACCUGGCCAAAGCACUCAGAUAAACAAGCAAUGGAAAAAGAGAUGGUCAGUUGGUUCGCCACUGCCCAUGCAUAAAACACAAUGAUCUGAACUGAAAGCCCUAUAAGGACUUCUCAUCCGUAGCAUAUGAUUGGCAAGAACCUUCACACUGGCUAGUGGCCACUAACAGUAUAUGAUUGCCAUGCAGCUUCAUAUUAGGCACUAAACAGGAAAAAAAGGUCAUUACCUUUAGUGGGUUUUGGGUCUCCAAAUGAAAUGGGCAGCAAAGAAUUGUUUGUUAAAAGCUUUUGCAUAGAGUGUUUUCUCAGCAAGGAUUCAUUAGGUGAAAAUUCUGGCAAAAAAGGAAUUGGCACUGUUCUAUUUUAGCCACAAUCUGAGUGAUUUUGUUAAAAGGAACACAAGUUUCUUGAUGAUAAUCAUGGCAAAACUGUUUGCAAGAUGGGUAGAAUUCAACUUUUUACUUGGUUAAAAGUGUCAUUACCAAGGAGUUUGGUGGAACUCCUUUUAACAUUAUUUCAAUAGAUGUGGUUAUAUGUAGAACAUGGAGUAAAUAGAUUAUCAAAUGCCAAUACAAGUUUAGUUUUGAUGGAUACUAUUUGGGUAAUCUGAUGCAAGCUGGCAUCCAAGGGACUAGCAAAACCUCUAGCCAAGAGAUAAUAAAGAACUUUAAGCUGACUAGUUUUGGUUUACUACCAAGGCUGAAAUUUUGACCUUUCUUGAAGGCUUGAAAGAGGCCCUUUCCUGGGGGAUGAUAUUUUCCCUUUUGAAAGAUAUUCUUCCAUGGUCAUUUCCUGUGCCCAAUACCAAGAGACAUGGCUUCUAGAGCUACAAUCAUUAGAUGAUAGAGACGUUUGAUUUAUCAAAAGACAUGGAAAUUUCUUUCUAUUGGAAGCCUAGAUUAGCUAAUCAAGCAAUUAAUGGAACCUGCACAUGGAAUUGGGCUAAAAAUGAUGAUUCACUAAAAAGUUCUAGCUUGUUACCCUCUGAUUUCUUUUUCUUUUUUUAAUGGGCAAUAAAAGUUCUAUAUAUACAGAAAAGAAAACAGUACACCAUAUACAAUGGGCACCAAAUGGUAAUACCAUAAAAGAGAGAGCACAAAAGAUAGCUCACUCUCUCAACACGACCCCAACCAAUCUACAAAAUCAAUCAAAGACAUUAACCUUUUUUUAUGUGUAACCUAACCCAUGCUAAAAGGUUACUUUUUUUUUUUUAUAGGAAACAACAAUUAUAUAUAUUUAUAGAUAAAGAAGUACAAAAGAAGGAUGAGGAAUCCUCCCUCCAAAGAUAAAACUAAACAACACAAUAAAAGAACAAGAAACUACACUAUGAAAACUACGAACAAGCUCUCUUGGCUAGACCAUCCCGUUGGAACCACAUAUUGCUAGCCAAUCUAGUUGUAACAAGUUAAGGGGAAUGCCCUUAAAAACCACGGAACAAAAAGCCCAAAGAGAAGUAAGGAAGUGAAUGGAAUCCCAUAGAUUCUCUUAAAUCCUAGUUAUGUCCUCAAAUAUCCUAGCAUUUCUUUCCCACCACACAACCCAAAUUAAAGCAAUGCACGCAUUUUGCCACAAAACUAUCCCUCUCUUGAAAGUGCCAAAACCUUUAUAAUUGAUGGACAUCAUGUCUGAAAUGCUUCUCGGAGGAACCCAAUCCAUCUUGGCUAGUUGAAAUAAUCUGUACCACAACCCCAUUGUCAAAUAACAAUGUAGGAAAAGACGAUCUGUUGAUUCUCCUUACUUCAUGCGCAACUUACAAAUGUCAGGACUAAGAACUUUGUAGGGUCUUCUCAAUUGUAGCAAGUCAUUAGUAUUUACCUUCUUGUGUGCCACUAACUAGACAAAGGACUUGACUUUGAAAGGGACUUAAGAAUUCCAUACAAAUUUAGUAGGGAAAGUAUUUGGGACAAGGCUAUAAAGAAAGACUUGACUGUGAACAAUCCUGAAGAAGAUAAAGACCAGGAUCUCGCAUCUGAAGCCGAAGUGGAUAAAUGCAUACAAUCAAGAAAUUGCAUGAGACAUUCUAGAUCUUCUAUCUCUAAAUCAGAAAGAUUACGACAGAAAUUAAAGUUCCAAGAGAAAGGGCCAGCAGAACUGAGAAUUGAAGAAAUAGGGAUAUUUUUAUCCGUGACUACUCUAAAUAGUCUUGGAUAUUGGGAUCUCAAAGGCUGGUCCCCCCACCACAAAUCUUCCCAAAAGCAAAUUUUUUCCCCAUCUCCUACCACAAACCGAGUAUACUUUGAAAAAUCCUGAAAGACUUGUGCAAUAGUCUUCCAAGGACAACAAUGUGACCAUCUGACUAAAAUGUUGGCAUCCCAACCAUUUGAAUGUGUCCCAUAAAUGCUUAGAAUGACCUGAUGCCACUGAGUUGUACUCUCCCUAGGAUACCUCCACAACCACUUCCCUAAAAGAGUGAGAUUCUUUAAAGAAAUCUUCCCAAGCCCCAAUCCCCCUUUUACCUUCGGCUUACACACUACGUCCCAACUAAUAAGAUGAUCUCUUUUACCUUUCCCAACCCCUGACCAAAAGAAAUCCCUUUGCAAUCUCUCAAUUUUUGCAGCCACUGAAACGGGAAUCUUAAACAGGGAUACAUGCUAAAAGGUUACUUAAGAAGAACAUUUCAACUUUUGGAUCCAACUGCUCUUCAUUUUCGAAGGAUCUUCAACUUUUUUCUUUCCAAAUUGUUCAAAAAUGCACAGAGGAGUAAUUCUCUAUAUUUUCUGCUGUUUCUUUCCAAAAAAUGAGUCAUGCUAGCUUAAAAGAGUUUCUCUAACCAUGGAAGGGAGCACUCAAACAAUGCCAAAUAAGGAUAACAACUACCAUAAAACCCUUGUUUUGGCACAGUGAAGAAAAAUGUGAUCAAUUGCUUCUUCAUCAUUUUUACCAAAAAAAUUAAAUAAAUAAUCUAUGUGCCAACAACCACCUUCUUCUAUGAAGCUGAUCUAACAUCAAUAGUUUUCUCCAACUGGAUUCCCAAGAAAAAAAGUUCACGUUAGACAGGACUUGUGAAUUCCAAAUAAUGCACAUUAGAAAGGGCAUUGACCUCCCAACUCCGAAACUGAAUAGAGGGAUUUGAUGGGGAAAAAAAACCCUUUGUUUUUUGAAUCCUUCCAAAUCACCCCAUUGUUUUCUUCCCUCUUCAUCGACUUAUCAUGCAAUCUAACGAAAAAACCUCCCCAACUCUCAAUCGUUUAAGUGUCUAUAGAAGCACGAAUUCCAAUGACCACACCCCUCUCAUCCCAUUAAUCCGCCACCCAAACCUCCUUAGAUACUACUAAAACAUACAAUGAAGGAAAUGACACACACAAGGGUUCCUUCCUACUCCAUUUAGCUUUCCAAAAUUUCACCCUCUUUCUACUACCUACUUCAAAAGAUGCCUCAUUAUUGAAGAGGUCCCAACCCUUCCUAAUAGUUUUCCAUACUCCAACCUUGUACACAUUUCUCAUUUCGCAAGAAUGCCAACCCCUUCUUCCUUCUCAUACUUCCCUAUAUGACCUAUUUCCAAAAAAACUCACCCUUUAGAAGCAAAUCUCCAACUUCACUUUCCUAAAGGAGCAAGAUUAAGAAAUAAAACCCUUCUAAUGCCCAAUCCCGCCUUACUCCUAUCCAUGCAAACAAUCAAUCAUUUCAUUAAAUGUGGCUUUUUCUGCAAAGUCCCAUCUCCCCAUAGAAAAUCUCUUUAAAUCUUCUUUAGUCUCAACUUGAGCUUUCUAGGGAUGGCAAACAAGAACACAUAGUAGAUAGACAAACUAGAUAAUGUGCUUCAAAUCAACGUGAGCACAUUGUCUUUUCCCCAUGGACAAUUUUCUACGAAACCUCUCUUUCACCCCAUCCCAAUACCGAUACUAAUAUGAAAGGAACACCUAAGGGUAGACCUAAGUAAGUAGACGAAAGCUCUCCCACCUCACAACCCAACUCUAUCACCAACUCCUCCACAUUAGAAUCAUUUCAUUUUUUUCUAGGUUUAUUUUCAGCCCACAGAUUGCUUCAAACUACAUGAGAAGCCCACUUAAAUGUACCUUUUGAUUUUUAGUAUCCUCACAAAAGACCAACAUAUCAUCUAUAAACAAUAGAUGAAACACCUACACUCCCUCACCGUUCUUCCCCCUCAAACUAAACCCCGACCAAUAACCACCCUCCCUAGCCCUCUCCAAAAGACAACUCAACACCUCCACUGCCAACACAAAUAGAUAAGGCAAGAAAAGAUCCCCUUAUCUCAAACCCCUAAAGCUCUUAAAAUAAAAACCAAAAAGGGGUACCAUUUACAAAUAUUGAAA
RNAcentral lists this long non-coding RNA (58273 nucleotides) under Vitis vinifera (wine grape). RNAcentral describes it as "long non-coding RNA (VVIN_LNC000416)". The record is from RNAcentral. Lineage: Eukaryota; Viridiplantae; Streptophyta; Magnoliopsida; Vitales; Vitaceae.